GACAUUGUUUGACUAGAGUAGAUGCUUUGAUCAUUUUCCAUUGUCUCAUGUGGAUAUAGAGAAGGCUUUGGAGGUAUUUCCAGGCUUUCAAUGUCUCCUUCAAGCAUUUCCACUACUUUGUUCAUUGAGGGACGAUCGCUUGGUUUCAACUGUAUACACCAAAGUGAAACAAUGAUCAUCUUUUUUGCUAUUUUAUUUUCCUCCUCUGUGACACCUUCCAUUUCUAUAUCUGUCUCUUUUCCAAGUUGAUUAUAAAUCCAAAAGGGAAAGUAAAGUUGACUUGAAUGAUCUGCAUGGGGAUUUAGGUUCUUCCUCUUACUUGCCAUCUCCAUCAAAAGCAUUCCAAAGCUAUAAACAUCAGCCUUGUGGGAUAUUCCUCCAAUAUUUUUAUAAAAUAAUUCUGGAGCCAUAUACCCAAUUGUCCCUCUUGCCGCUGUCAUAGUCACAAUGCUAUUAUCUAUUGGAUAUAGUUUUGCCAAUCCAAAGUCAGAGACCUUUGGGGUGAAUGUUUCAUCAAGAAGGAUGUUAUGGGGUUUGAUAUCAAAAUGCAAAAUUUGCAUCUCGCACCCAUGAUGGAGAUAAGCAAUCCCACGAGCUACUCCAAUUGCUAUAUUAUAUAUUUUGUCAUAUGUUAAAUGUAUAUUUCCAUCUUUGGUAAAAAUAAAUUUGUCAAGAGAUCCAUUGGGCAUGAAUUCAUAAACAAGGGCACGUUUUGAGCCUUCAACACAAUAUCCAAUUAAUUGUACUACAUUUUGAUGAUGUAUUCUUCCAAUUGUUGCAAUUUCACUAAUAAAGUCUUGGCCGUUACCUUUUGAUUUAUGUAGCAUUUUAAUUGCCACAGAAGGCCCACUACGCAACUUUCCCUUGAAUACAAAGCCAUAGCCUCCUUCACCCAAUUUGUCUUUGAAACCUCUAGCCAUCUUCUUAAUUUCUUUGUAUGAGUAUCCAAUAGGCAUCAAGUUAUUUUGUUCUAGAUAAUUUUCAAUAUUUUCAUAUGUUGACAAAUGCCUUUUUCUCCAUUUGUAUAUCAAAAGCACAAUAAAAAAUGUCAUCCCAAACAAAAACUUGCCUGCCAAGUAUGGUAGAAUGUAGUGUCCAAAGGCAAUAAAUAUUGAGUCAUAGGCACCGAUUUCACGUUCAAGUUCUGGGUUUGGCCCAUUUAUAGUUUCAAACAAUCCUGUGAAUUAAUAUCACAAAUGUGACGAUUAUGUUAUAACAGAUGAUAAAGGAAACAUGAUGACUAUCAUACAACCUAUAUGCACAAUUUGUUAAUAUUAGAAGAUUGUUAAUUAUUGGAAGAGUCAAAGACACAAAGUGGUACAUACUAUCACAUAAUCAAUAGUAAUAACAAUGUCAAAAUAUUAUAACACAUACUAACUCUAGUGAAAUGUUUUGCAUGGUUAAAAUUAUCUAUAGCAUAUAAAAAUUGAGGAACUCACCUUUUAUGACAGCAUUAAAAGCUUCUGCAAAAAAAAAAAGGGUUACUUGAGUGAAUGGUGUGAUAAAGAAUCUUUUGAUUACAAUGUUAAUGUGAGAUGCAAUAAAUAAGGUACUUGUUAAAGUAGAAUAUCAAUUUAAUUCUUAAAAUUGAUAUUAUUAUUAGUUGCUAUUCAUGAGUUAAUUUGAUAUUGAAUAUUUGCAAGGAAAUAGCGCUUUGCCUCCAAUUUAUGAUUCUUUUUGUAGGAAUUGUACAUAUUUAUCUUUAUUGUGUGAUUAUAUAGAGCAGAAACUCCAUUUUUGGGACUUAAUGUUGAAUCCAGCUCAGUUUCGGGCCAAAUAAGAAAAGGUUCAAGCAGCUGAUGACUCGUUUAGUGAGGCAGAUCCGCUCAGCGUGUGACAUCUGCUUAACGAGGCAUCCAGUUCACUUAGCAGAUGGGAAACCUUAGAAGAGGAUAAGUAAGAGAUGUGCUCGUCCAACGAGGUCAUUGUCUCUUUUCGUGCUUAGUGCGCCCACUCUCGUUUUGCGAAAAUUCACUAACUCUCGCUUAACGAGACAUGCUUGCUAAGCGAGCCUUCAGAAGCUGAAAGGUCCAAGAGCCUUUAAAACACUGAAGUUGGCGAAAAUAAACAACAAGAAGCAAUAAAGAGACGAGUGAGGAGCAACAAAGGGUGCUUGGCUUAGGAAAAUAGAGAGACUUAGGGUUUAGAGGUCAAAGGAGACAUCCUCCAUCAUCUUCUUCCAAUUUCUUUCACCAGAAACAAUUUCUUUCUUAGUUUUAAAGUUUUGCUUGUAAUGGAAGGCUAAGCCUCUUUGUUGAGGAGAUCAACUGAACAAUCUUGAUGUAAUAUUCUCACUAUCUAUUUAAUGUUAUUUUUCUUUGUUUAUUGCUUCUAUCUAUGUUUAUUUUACAUGCUUGUGACUUGAUCACCCAUUUGUAUGUGUAGUUAAGCUUUUUAGUAUUGGAUAAUGCUUUAAAACCUUAGAACUUGGUAGAACAAGCUAGAAAUUUGUAUGUCUAGGAAUGAAGUGCAGUGAUUUAGUUCAUAUUAUGUUGUAGGAUUAAGACAACUCCUUUAGAACAAGUUUGUUGAGGGAUCAAGGACAAAGUCUAAAGAGAGCUAGGUUCAUUCAUGUGAGAAAUCAUGGUUUGAGUAGUUUCUCAGCAUAAGAACACUAAGAUAACAUUAAAUAGAGAAAAAUAUAUUUUAAACAUCAAGAGAAAUUAAGUAGAACAACCCAACACUGUUAACUUGAUAGUUUUCACCUUAUAUAGCUUUAGAUAUUGUGUUUAUGUUCAAAUAGAUUUUCUAGUACAGAACUCAGCAUUUAUCCUGUUUUUAAUCCCUAUAAGUGUUUACAUACUGAAUGUACAUGGUCUAAGUGAAAUAAAUUUUCUGAGGAUAUGAUAUUUAGUCGUACUGUUUUAUAUUACUUGUGUAAAUCGGUACACUUGCCGAUGUUAACAACAAUUAUCCAUCAAAUUUGACAAAUAUCAACCAAUUUAGUUGUUGAGGAUUUUGCAUAUCGGUCAAUUUCGUUACUAAUAUUAAGUUGCAUGAAGGACCAAAUUGAUUAGUGGCUAUCAAUUUCUUUUCUUAUAGAAAAGAGAAAAAUAAAUAGUUAUUGCCAAAUCUAGCUAGGGAUCAAUUUGAUGUUUAACUUAUAUUGUUGAAUUUAUGUUAUAUUAUACUAAGAAAUCAUAUAAUAAGUCAUUGUUUCAAAUGCAAGCCAAUGGUUCUAUUCGUCUGUAUAUAUGUAUUUAAUAACUUGCACGUACAUAUACAUACAUUUAAGAAGGAUGAUUCACGGAUUAGUAGUAAGGUUUAAUAGUAAUGCAUGCAAUCACAAUGCAAAUAAAAUAAUUGACAAAUGAUGAUUAAGCAACAAAAAAGAAGAAAAAAAUUGAAAGGCAUAAAAUUAUAUUAUUUAUGAAUUUUUUUACAUUUAUAUAUAAUUUUUAUAAUAAUUUUUUUUGUUUUAAUUUCUUAAGAUACUUAUUAACAACCCAAAAUAAUUUUAUACAAUCAACCAAAUCAACAAAUAAAAAAGUAUUCUUGAUAUAACUUUUCAGAUGAUUAUUAUAAAAACUUGAAUGUAUUUUGAGUCCUUAUAAAACAAAAAAUUAAGGUUAUAAAAUUCUUACCUUCUGCAGAUGUUAGCAGCCUGGACCAUGUCCCUAUUGACAAAAAAAUAUAUCAGUUUCGGAUUUUAUCACAACGAGACACAGAGGACUAUUAACAUAUAUGUCAAAGUUUAUACCUAUUAUCAGUUUAAAAAGUUUUAUCUAAAAAAAAAGUUUUAUUUAAUCCUUGGGUUCAUAUAGACACAGGUAAAAAAAUAAAACUAAUAAAUUAAUUUUUUGUUUAAAAAAUGAUUUUAUUAAUAGGAUGAAUAAGAAAUAUAAAUUAAAAUAUAAAUACAGACUUUUGAAACCUUGUUUUACCAAAUGCAAAAAUAUAUGGUUUAACAGAUUAAAGAUGGUUCUAUUGAUGAUUUGUAAAUAUAUAAUUUUUACAACCUUUAGCACAUUGAAGCUGGAACAGCUGUCCCCCCAGGAAAUUGCGGCAGGGGCAUUGAAGCUUCUGAAUGGAAGCGUCAAAUGCGCAGUCGGAAUAAAAAUAUCCACACUGAUCGCCACAGGCGAAAUUGAUCCAUGAAAGCUCAAAUCCAUAGAGAAGCGCUCUGUGCAUCUGAGUGUAUGAAGAAUUAUUUGUAUCCAAACCCCGCCAUGAUGUGGGAGCAACCAGCUUUACCUCACAACCAACUUCAAAGUCCUUUGCUAUUAAGUCACCAGCAAUAGCGUAUAUGUACCCUUUGGAGUGCCACUUGAUGCAAGGAUCAGUUUCCACAUACUUCUCAUUGUCAAUCACUGCAUGCCUACAAUUUAAGAAAACUAUAUGCUGGAAAACGUGCUCCCAAGAAUAAUCUCGAUUUUGUAAGGCUAGGUAUGGAUACCCUUCAUCAAUUGCACUGAAAUUGGUUGGAGACAAGAAGUAGCGAGGAAUGGAGGAGCAAUAUGGCUGUUGAACACCCGGAUCCACCACACGGAUUGUGAAAUUGUUGUAGUUGAUAGCCUGCACAUGAUAUUUUCCAGAGUACAAAUAUAACACCGUAACAUUGUUUUCACAAGCUAGCCAAUACCUGUUGACCCCGCAAACUUCUGGGUCGCCUUUUAAUCGAAAUGGAUAAGUUAUGUUGGUGAUUUUGCCACAGGAAGAAGGGGGGCAAGCAUGCUCUUGCUCAUUGGUUGCACAAAUUUGGUGGACUAGUAAUAACAGGAACACCAAUAAAGCUCUCUGUCUCCACAUGACGCUCAAACUGUUUCUCGCUCACCUUUAAGUGCAUAGUGCAUACAAAAUCAAAGUCGAUAUUUAAAGAAAAAUUGUAAGGUUAUUUCUGUCCUAAUAUCUUUCUUUUUUACUUUUUACGCAUCUUAAAUUAAUCUCAGCAUUAUUGCAUUAUGUAAAAUUCUGAUUGAAUCAUAUUAGAAUGAGAAAGAUUUAGAGACUAUAAGUAUAAGACCGUACGAUUGAUGAUAUCUUAAAAGAAUUAAUUGGUAUUAUCUAUACCAACAAAAUACAUAUAUUUUUUGAUCGUUCAUUGUUUAAGAAUUUUUGGUUAAACAUGUUUGACUUGGAGUAAUUAUGAAAUAAAUGAUCUUCUUCUAUUAAAGAGUCUUGAUUAACAAGAAUUAAUAGAGAUAAUAUUUGGGACUUCAUUUGCAAGACACCUUUACUUUGUAGAAUUAAAUGAAAUUGAACCAAUAAUGCAGCUAAUUUUAGUUAUUAUAUAUAACACUCAAAGUGAUAGUUUUCCGGAGCUUAUAGGUUGAAAUUGUUGGACUACAGUAAGAGUUUAUUAAAAUUCUGAAACUUUAUUUUUGAAUUUUACAUACAUACGCGAUAGGAAAAUAAAUGUAUGCUUAUAAUUAUUGAUAUUUAAGACAUGGACUUAGGGGACCUCAUUUUUCCAAUAUUAAAAGAAUGUGUGAUUACGUAGACUUUAACUUGUCCCUGAGGGGGUAUUAAGUCUUGGAAAAAUCAACACGAUUUUGAAGAGUUCUUCUAAGGUUUCGGUCAAUUUUCACGUGGUUGGGCUUGGAAGGUUUUGAUUAAUAGUAGAGGUAAACAUUAACAGUGAUAGCGAGACGUUAGGCUUUUUGAAUUUUUGUGAAGAGGAUGAGAUUUGAAGGAUGCAAGAUGUGAAAGCUAAUGAAACACGGAAGCGUCAAGAAUUUGCAUAAGCACCGAAUCAGUUUUUAUUUUUAUUUUGGCAAAAUUACACUUUGGUUUCCUAGUUUAUCUCUAAUUUUGGAUUUGGUCCCUCUAUAAUUUAAUUUACAAAUUUGGUCCCCAGUUUUAUAAAUCCCUGCAAAAUUGGUCUUGGAAGCCAGAUUUCGACGUUGACCGUUAACCUCAGACGUUGACUGCCAUGUGUGACUGCCACAUGUCAAUGUCAAGUGUCAAUGCCACGUGUCAAAGUCUGAGUGGUUCCCUGUUAAUGCUUCAUUUUUUGUAGGUAAAAUUGUAGUUUUGGUCCCCAGUUUUACUCCAAUUUCGAUUUUGGUCCCCUUAUAAUUUAAUUUGCAUAUUUGGUGCCUAAGUUUUAUAAAUCCCUUUAUAAAUUCAGCCAAAUUUCAUUACUGGAGAAGUUGUAUUUCAAAUUUCAAACAAAAAUAUCAUUGUCAUACAUAGGCCACUUAAGCAGUCGUAUACACAUAAUACCGCAUGGGGGAACAAAAAAAGAGAAAAAAAAAAGUUAUUACAGAACCUGUUAAAGUAAGAGAUCUGAAAAUUUCAUACCGAGGUUGGGAUUCAUGCGCCACUUUCCCAAGUUGAACAAUCCCGGAAGUGGGAGAGAGACAAAGAGUGAUUUUGUUCUGGGUUCCAAGUGAGUGAAAAACUUACGAUGAAAAAGAAGUGCGAGAUUUAUUAAGACCUACUACCAUGUCUCUAGCACUAGUAGCUAAACCAUUCAAAAGACCAAUUUUAUAGGAACAAUUUAUAAAGGGAUAUAUAAAACUGAGGGACUAAAUGUGUGAAUUAAACUAUAAGGGGACCAAAAUCGAAAUUGGAGUAAAACUGGGAGACCAAAAGUGCAAUUUUACCUACAAAAAAUGAAGCCUUUACAGGGAACCACUCAGACGUUGACACGUGGCAUUGACACGUGACAGUCAAUGUCUGAGGUUAACGGUCAACGUCCAAAUCGGGCUUCCAAGACCAAUUUUGCAGAGAUUUAUAAAACUGAGGGACCAAAUUUGUGAAUUAAAUUAUAGGAGGACCAAAUCCGUAAUUGGAGAUAAAGUGGGAGACCAAUUUUGCCUUUUAUUUUUGUAAAGAAGCACCAAAUCAAUUAUCCUGUAUGCAGCUAGUGGCACCGAAUCAAAUUCGCUAGGUCUGUUUUGAUUUUUCAUGUCUUGGAGGUGUUUUCUAGCUCAUAUAUAUAUAUGGACCAACAAUGUUUUUUUUUUCUGAAUUGGAUUAAUAGCUCUUCUCUCUGGGUCAAAAAUGACAUUUAUUUUGUUAUAAAUUAUCUACAUAUAGUUCAUGCAUAAACUUAUAAGUCAUUCACACAUUUCCUUGAACAAACUUUAGUUAUUGUCACAUCCAUCAUUCAUUUGUCUUUGGCUAGACUUUUCUGUAGUAUUAUGUGUAGAAGGUAAAGGACUGCUUAGAUUUAGAGCAAUUCCACAUACGGGUGAGUAAAUGGGCUCGGGCCCAUAGACUGGCCCGCAGGGUCCGUGUUUGCGCGAGUAAUGGACUAAUUUUUUUAAAUAGUCCAUGGUCAUGCAAAAAUUUUAGGUUCGUCUCACUUAACCAGCGGAAUGUGCAGAUUUGAUCCGCGAGGUCUACGGGUUGCUCGUAAGUCUGCUUAAUCCAUGGUUUGAGAAUCCCACCAACUACAGUACCUUGAGAAUCCUGCUUAAUCCAGAUCUUUCAUUGUUGGCUUAUGAUAUUUUAUGCAUCCAAAUUACAACUGUGGCUUCCGAAUCGACAUUUAGUAUUGGUUCACGGGUGCUUAACAAAUAUCGAACUAGGCUUCUUGCUGACAACGUGCAAGUCUCGAUAUGUACUAAAAAUUGGUUACUAGGAUUUCAUAAGCAAGGUAAAUAAUGUGUAAUAAUUGUUGUCUUAAUUUUAAUCACUUAACUUGAGUUGAUUCUAAUAUUUAUUAGUGUUUUGAGUUUUAAGAAAAGAAGAUGAAGAUGUGGAGAUGGAGAAAGCUCAAGCUACUUCAAAUAUGAAAUCAUUUGUUGUUGGAGAUGUUUAAGUUUCAUAUUUUAGAUUUAUUGCUUGGAUUUUCUUUUGUUAAAACAUUAUUUAUUUUAUUGAUGUAAUUGACUAAUUGUUGAGAUUUUAUUUACAUUUGUGUUGAACUUAAUUUUGUUGUGUUACAUUUUUGUUGAAAUUAGAAUUCAUUUAAAAUUAGGCCCACAGACCGGCCCGUUUGAUCUGCGGGGUUCACAGGGGCGGGGAUGCAUCAAUUUAUUAGGUCCAUGUAAGAAUGCGAGGUGGGCUGACCCGGUUCGAUGCCAAUUCUGGCGGACCUUACGCACGGUAGGCCGGUCCGCUUACCCAUCCCUAAUUCCACACACUAUAUCCAAAAGUCCAGCACACCUUUUUUGGACUUGUGGACUAGAAAAAUCCAUUAAAGUCAGUGUUGCGCAACUUAAUGCAGGUUUAAAUUUAAUUUCAAAGAAUUUGGUAAGGUCAAGUUUGUGGCAGUAUAUGUCUGAGUUUCACUUUCUCUAUCAUAAUUCUUUGGGGGAGACAAUAUUAGAAUUUUAGAGGAUCCUUAUAAAAUAUCAAUAUAAUCAUCAGGAACACAUUAUGUUAGAUUAUCAAGAAGAGUUUUAGGAAUGUCUGGAUCCAUAAUGUCUGAUCAAACAAACGCAGCAGAAUCUGAAUCCGUAGGUGAUUUCUGAUCUAUGUACUCUUCUUAGGAUCUGUUACGGAACAUAUAAUCGGCUAACAUCGUAACCAGUGACUUCAUGGUUCUUACUCAACCAUAACCUCUUUAUUCCUUAAUAGGACCUUCAUAACUCUUCAGAUAUGGAGAAGAGAAACUAUAUCCGACGACUCGGUAUAUUGAGGACCAUAACCUAAUAGGGUUCUCAUUAUCCCCUAAUGGAUCAACAAUGACAUAUGCUCAUUUAAGUCCAAAUCAUUUGACUUAGUUGUCUAAUAGGCUCACUUAAUUUGAUCACAUAAAAUAAAACCCAUUAAUAAUAAAUAGCUAAUAUAAUUGUUUUAUAAUAUUAGCCUACAUUAAUUAUUGGAAUAGAAAAUUCCAACAAUCUCCUACUUGGGCUAUAUAUUGUAACAAUUAUAUCAAAAAUCCUUAAGCACGCAUUUGUAUGCUAUUUACCUUUAGACUUCCACCUUAACAACGUAGUUCAUCUCAUGUAUUAAUAAUAGACUCAUUGCGGCUUUCGUCACUACAAAAAAUGUAACUAGAUCCCAAUGGCCAUCACAUCAGUACACUCAAUGACAUAGGUCAAUAUGAAUAAGCAACAUGAAAAUCACAUGCAAUGUGAUCUUAGUCAUGCCUAUUUCCAACUAGCCCAAACUUUAUUCUUUAUAUAGAUCUAUCCAAACACAACAAAAAUAUUGCAAAUAAAACAAGCUGAUAAUGAAAUGAUAAAAUUUAACUUUAUUUCUGCAGAAAAUCUAAACAACAAAAUGUUUGUAAACCAUAAGAUAUAAAACAUAAGUAAGAAUCCACUAAACUAAAAUACUAUUAGGAAUUAGACCUAUAUGAACAGUGUGCUCAUGAAAAACUUUAAGUGUCAUACCUUUAGUUAGUGGAUCAGCUAGCAUGCAAUGGGUUCCUAUAUGUUCUAUAAAAAUAUGUAUUUUCUAAAUUCUUUAUUUAACAACCAAAUACUUUAUGUCAACAAAUUUUUACUUGGUUAAAUCCUUAAUUAUACCAUUAAGAUAUUUCCCCAAUAAACACCUGAUGGCUACCUAAUGUUGACAACAGGAAAGUUAGUUACAAUAAUUUAACAAUCAUAAAUUCUAGUAUGAUGUCGAAUAGAAAAAUAUUAACUCCACCAACACGGUAAAAUGUGGAUCCUUAUGUGAAAUGAUUGCUAUUAAGACAUUCCGAAAAAAUCAAAGUCAGAAUAUCCAAUGAUCUCUAAACUUCUAGACUUUCGAUAUGAAAACAUGUAGUUUCUUGUUCUCUUUAAUUAAUACAUAAUGUGCUUUACUACUUUUUAGUGUUGCAUAUCAAAAUUACUUAUAUAUCACCUUAGGACUCCCAUAAAAAAUUAUUUCAAGACAAUACAAAAAAAAAUAAAGCAUUCAUGAUAAAUUGUAAUAUAAUUGUUUUGCAACAAUAAGUCAUAUGAUGGUACUGGGAUGUCAUCAACAUAUAAUACCAAAAUAAUAAAUUUACUCCAACUAAACUUUUAGCAUGCACAAUCAUCAACCAAAUUUAACUCAACAUCAUAAGAGAUAAUCUUGAUGAAUUUUGUAAUAUCAUAGACGAGAGACUUGUUUAAAGCAUAAAUGGAUUUCUUUAGUUUACAUACCAUAGACUUUACAUUAUCUUAAACAAGGUUUUCUGGUUACACCGCAUAAAUUGUUUCAUCAAUGUUUCCAUUUAGAAACGUAAUCUUUUCAUCCAUCUAUGCAAAACAAUUGUCAAAAUGAUCUACAAUGUCAUUAUAGUCCUAAGAAAGUCUUUCUAAAAAAUUAGAGAGAAAGUCUCUUUGUGAUCAAGUCUUUUUUCUUGUAAAACUUUUGACGACAAGAUAAACUUUAUAUAUUUUAAUAUUACCCAUUGAAUCCCUUUCGACUAUAGAUAUUUAUCUAUAACUUAUGGGUUUUACACUUUCAAGAAAUUUGAUGAUAUCUCAAAUGUCAUGUUCAAGCAUUGAUUUUAUUACAUCAUUUAUGACAUCAAUCCAUUUGAGAGUUAGAGCACAACAUGACUUGACUAAGGUUAAUUAAACCUUCUCAGUUAACCUAAUGUUAUAUUCAUGUUCUUAAAGAAAUAUGACAUAAUCAUAUCAAAUUACUUGUUUUCUUUCUCUUGUGGAUCUUCUUAAUGACACUUCUUGAAGUUAUUGAGUUCGAACUUUAGGUGAUGCUUGAGAGAGAAUCUUAGUGUUGUCUUGUUUUUUAAUAAUGUUAAGAGUAACAUCAAUAUUUAAUUACCAUAUCUUUUUUUGAACAAUGGUAAGUACAAAGACUUAUCUAUUGUCAAUAAUAGAUUAUUCGUUAAAGACAACACUCAUUAUGUUUCUUUCCCCUCCAAAUUCAAUUUCCUCAAGGAGUCUUGCAUUCUCGUAUCAAACAUGAUCCUAAAGUGAGAUUGUAAAACUUAUACAUACGAGAACUUUAAAUAAAGAUGAAUCAUUUGUGACAAUCAUAAUAAGCCACCAUAAAUACAUUUAUGGUGGUUUCUUCUAAUUCCAAGACAAAACCGUUAACAAAGACAUUUUUUUGCAUGCUUCCUAAAUCCACCCACUUAAUUCCUAUCUCUCAAGCUUUAUUCAUCCGGGUCAAACCAUUCAAAAACUUACUAUUCACCCCUAAAACAAGAUUUUCACCUAUGUAAUUAUAAUCUUAUAUAUAUACAAACAUCAUAGACCAUCACGUUAUAAUUAAUUAAUUACAUAUAUUUAAAUUAAAUUAAAUUAUUCUUGCAAUCUAAUUAAAAUCACUUAACUAGACAUUACAAAAAACAUAAUGUUACUAUAAUAAUUUAUUUUAACUAAUAAAUAUAGAUAGAUAGUAAAGAUUAAUAUAGUACGUAGGAGUCUUUUUUUAUUCAUUAAUUCGGUUUUUAUAAUAUGCUUUGUAUCCAAUAAUAAUUAAAAAAAUUAAAAGGAAUUUAUUUAAUAUAUUAAGCUAAAUUUAUUAUUUUUUUUAAAAAAACUAAAUUUAUUAAAUUUAUGAAUAGUUACUUUUAUUUAAUAACAUUCAUGAUUUUUUUUAAAUAUCUUUAUGAAUUAAUAUUUCCAUAAAAUAUUAUAUAUAUAUAUUCAAAAUUUUAUUAGAAAUAUUUUUUAAAAAUUGUAUAUUGAAUAUCAUUAAUGCGUGUAAUUAAAUUCUUUUUUCAAUAUAAUCAGGUAUGUUAAAUUUGAUUAUGUCUAAUUAACAACUUUAUAUGAAUCUGAUUUCCUAAUAUACAUUAUAAACUUAAUUUUAAUUUUUGAAAUUACAAAAUUAAUAUAUUAAUGUAACCAAUUUAACAAUUCAUUUUUUACUUCAUUAAACACAAUUAGCUUUAUAUAUUAUUAAAUUAAUUUAAAAUUGAUAAAACAAUAUCUUUGUUAGAUUUGUUUGAAUUAAAUCAAAAUCAUUUAAAUAAUAUUUGAUUAUACUUAAAGUUCAUUAUAUGACAUGGCAAAAGUAGCUACAUGUCAAUAAAUAAAUGCAUGAAUUAUCAAUAGGUGUGGGUUAUUUAUAAUCUACACUGAAGUAAUUCCCAAAUAUUAAAUUUCUUAACACUAUUAUAGAACCCAUUGAUGUACAUAUGAGAGCCCUACUUUUAGUUAAUUGAACUAAUUUUCUAAUUAUUCAGGAAAAUCGGAUGAAAAUUUUCAAAAUACUAAUUCUCAAGGAUACAUGUGUAAUACUAAGUACUGUUUAGUUUCGAUUUUUAAUACUUUGUCUGGACGAGGCCUAAGAAAUGAUAAAAUAAAUUAUUUGUUCCUAGAAAACCACAUAACAGGAUGAGAUAGUAAAAAUAGCAAGAGAGGUUUAAAAAUUCUUUUCAAGUCAUACAAAUGUGCUUAAAGUAAUAAUUUUAAAAUCCUAAUAAUACUAAUUAGAAUUAAAACCCUACAAAAAAUUAAUAGCACGGGGCGGGGUGUACUUCCCCGUGUUAUUAUUAUUUUGAAGGCACGAGGUUUUAUAGGCAUGGCACCCGCACGAGGCGGGGUGUACUUUCCCGCUCCCCGUCCCUGAACCUUACCCUACUCUCCGUCUCUGCUCCCCGUGCUGAGGGUAUUUUUUGCCCCGUUCCCGUUCCCCGGCUCCCCGCGGGGACCCCAUUUUACAUUAAAAAUGUCAAAAAUUAUAAUUUUUUUUUGUUUUAUCUCAAUUUUUCAACAAUAAUAAAUUUAAGGUUUAAUUCUAAGUUUAAAACAUGACGAAAAAUACCAAAAUAAAUCAAUAAUAAUAGUAAUAAAAUCAAACAAGCAUAAAAGCAUCCAAGAAAUAUCCAAGUACACAUUAAUGUUAUAGUAUUACACAAUAAAAAUUAUAAAACUAGCAUAACAUUACAAGUCUUUAUACAAUAAAUUAAUAUCAUCAUACUGAAUCAAGUCUUCAUACUUCCAUCCAAGUGCAAUGAAGCAUCUUCAACAUCAUACCUACACAAUGAAACAUGUAAAGAUGUGUUUAGAAAAUAUAAAAAAGUCAUGAAUUAAUAUAAUAAAAUUUUCAUACCGUCGACGUUGUGUCUGCAUCGUCUUUGUGACUUGUGAGAUAUAUAUAUAUAUAUAUAUAUAUAUAUAUAUAUAUAUAUAUAUAUAUAUAUAUAUAUAUAUAUAUAUAUAUAUAUAUAUAUAUAUAUAUAUAUAGAUAGAGAGCGCGGCCAGCGCGAUAUACCCCUGUGUGUCCACAGCAUAUAUCUCUGUGUGUGUCUCUAUAUUUAUAUAUAUAUAUGUAUGUGUAUGUGUGUGUGUGUGUGUGUGUGUGUGUGUGUGUGUGUGUGCGAGUAUAUGACACACACAGAGCCCAUUCCCUAGCCUUUGGGUAGAAAUUAUUAUGCUAAAAACUUACAAGCAACCACAUUACACCAUUCAAGUAGAAAUCCAGGUUUAUAUCCAAGAUUACAUAUCAGGGGAAACUUUUGAACAAAAAUCUUUAAAUUUUUGGUAACCCCAUUUUUUUUAUACUUUGAAAGAUAAAACAAUAGGCAAUCUUUUAGAUAAAAUAAAUAUUACAGAUGAACAGGUGUUCAAGACAAUAAGGUGGAUACAAAUACAUAACUACUAUGCAUUAUCAAAUAGCAUCCUCUACCAAAGGAUUAGUCACAAUUUCCUUGGAAUAACUAGAAGAACUAAUGAAGUCUGUUGACAUUGUUUGACUAGAGUAGAUGCUUUGAUCAUUUUCCAUUGUCUCAUGUGGAUAUAGAGAAGGCUUUGGAGGUAUUUCCAGGCUUUCAAUGUCUCCUUCAAGCAUUUCCACUACUUUGUUCAUUGAGGGACGAUCGCUUGGUUUCAACUGUACACACCAAAGUGAAACAAUGAUCAUCUUUUUUGCUAUUUUAUUUUCCUCCUCUGUGACACCUUCCAUUUCUAUAUCUGUCUCUUUUCCAAGUUGAUUAUAAAUCCAAAAGGGAAAGUAAAGUCGACUUGAAUGAUCUGCAUGGGGAUUUAGGUUCUUCCUCUUACUUGCCAUCUCUAUCAAAAGCAUCCCAAAGCUAUAAACAUCAGCCUUGUGGGAUAUUCCUCCAAUAUUUUUAUAAAAUAAUUCUAGAGCCAUAUACCCAAUUGUUCCUCUUGCCGUUGCCAUAGUCACAAUGCUAUUAUCUAUUGGAUAUAGUUUUGCCAAUCCAAAGUCAGAGACCUUUGGGGUGAAUGUUUCAUCAAGAAGGAUGUUAUGGGGUUUGAUAUCAAAAUGCAAAAUUUGCAUCUCGCACCCAUGAUGGAGAUAAGCAAUCCCACGAGCUACUCCAAUUGCUAUAUUAUAUAUUUUGUCAUAUGUUAAAUAUAUAUUUCCAUCUUUGGUAAAAAUAAAUUUUUCAAGUGAUCCAUUGGGCAUGAAUUCAUAAACAAGGGCACGUUUUAAGCCUUCAACACAAUUUCCAAUUAAUUGUACUACAUUGUGAAGAUGUAUUCUUCCAAUUGUUGCAAUUUCACUAAUAAAGUAUUGGCCGCUACCUUUUGCUUUAUGUAGCAUUUUAAUUGCCACAGAAGCCCACUACGCAACUUCCCCUUGAAUACAAAGCCAUAGCCUCCUUCACCCAAUAUGUCUUUGAAACCUCUAGCCAUCUUCUUAAUUUCUUUGUAUGAGUAUCCAAUAGGCAUCAAGUUAUUUUGUUCUAGAUAAUUUUCAAUAUUUUCAUAUAUAUAUGGACAAAUGCCUUUUUCUCCAUUUGUAUAUCAAAAGAACAAUAGACAAUGUCAUCCCAAACAAAAACUUGCCUGCCAAGAAUGGUAGAAUGUAGUGUCCAAAGGUAAUAAAUAUUGAGUCAUACGCAUCAUAUUUACGUUCAAGUUUUGGGUUUGGUCCUCUUAUAGUUUCCGAAAAUCCUGUGAAUUAAUAUCACAAAUGUGACUAUUAUGUUAUAACGGAUGAUAAAUGAAAAAAAAAAUGACUAUCAUACAACAUGUAUGCAUAAUCUGUUAAUAUUAGAAGAUUCUUAAUUAUUGGAAGAGUCAAAGUCACAAAGUGGUACAUACCAUCAUAUAAUCAAUAGUAAUAAUAAUGUCAAACUAUUAUAACACAUACUAACUCUAGUGAAAUGUUUUGCAUGGUUAAUAUUAUGUGCAGCAUAUAAAAAAUAGAGGAACUCACCUAUUAUGACAGCAAAAAUGGCUUAUGCAAAAAAAGAAAGAAAAGGUUUACUUGAGUGAAUAGUGUGAUAAAGAAUCGUUUGAUUACAAUGUUAGUGUGAGGAUUUUGCAAAUAAAGAAUCUUAAAAUUUCUAUUAUCCAUCAAAUUUGACAAAUAUCAACCAAUUUAGUUGUUGAGGAUUUUGCAUAUCAGUCAGUUUUCGUUACUAAUAUUAAGUUGCAUAAAGGACCAAAUUGAUUAGUGGUUAUCAAUUUCUUUAGUUAUAGAAAGGAGAAAAACAAAUAGUUACUGUCAAAUCUAGCUAGGUAUAAAUUUGAUGUUUAACUUAUAUUGUUGAAUUAUUUUAUAUUAUACUAAGAAAUCAUAUAAGUCAUUGUUUCAAAUGCAAGCCAAUGGUUCUAUUAGUCUGUAUGUAUUAAAUAACUUGCACGUACUGUUGAGGUGUUUGGCAAGUGUACCAAUUCGCUCUAAGUAGUAAUUCUCGGAAGUCCGAGUAUCGUUUCCACAGGAAUUUUAUUGCACUUUAUUGAAUACUCUUCAAUUUGUAAGUGAGAAGUAAAGAGUAAAAAGCCAGAAUAAAUGCAAGGGUAAAUUGCUACUACUAGAUCAAACAAUUUAAAAAGAUAAUUAAUGAAGAUGAAGAUGCUAAGACCGGACAAACCUAAUUGGCCUACGAUGCAUGAGAUUAUGAUGUUCAUUACCAAUGCAAUUGAACUAGUUCUACCCACAUCUGUUAAUUUUACUUGCCCCUGAUGCCUCACGAUGAUAAGCCUAUUUUAACUACCUAUCUCCAAAAUGCCUUUGUGAAUACUCAAUAAUUAAAAUGCAUUAAGGUUGAAUUAUAGAUGUUUCUAAAUGCAUGGGCAUUGGGCCAUCAUUCUAUGCCUAGCAAUGCUAACCCAAUGAUUCUUUUCUUUAUUUGUUCUAUUAGGUGUUACCCUUUCCUAAGCGUGUAACCCCUAAAAACUGAUGCAUGCAUUGCCUCUUAAACCCUUAUUAGGAAAUACCCUUUCCCGAGCGAAUAAAACCCAAAAAAAUUUAAGACAUAAAUGCAAGAUAAAAAGAAAAGAAUUAGAAAAUAAAACCUGGAAGGAAUUCUCUUUGCAUUGAUAACUCUUGAAGUACACCAUACAUCGUUGGCUUUUUAGGCCUGCCAGGCCCUAGCUAGGGGAGUAGCCGCUCAUGGCCAUUGAGGGGCUUUACAACUGAGGGGUGAAAGAAAGAAUGGAUAGGAAAAAUAAAGAAUAUAGAGAGAAAGGAAGAGCUUAGGCUUGGAAUGUUAAGAGAAGUACUCUGAGGCGAGGUGUGUGAUUCCUCCUGGACUGACUCUCUAUUUAUAGCUGCUAAAAUGGGCUUUGGGCUUUCGUAGGCGUGCUUAGCGCGACACCUCACGUUUAGCACGUUUAGAUCGUGCGCUUAGCGCGUGCUGCAGGCUUAGCAUGUGCUUUUAUUGGAUCGCGCACUUGGCGUGUGGUUCGUGCUUAGCGCGAGUAACGGAUCCUGCGUCUUCGUGCUUAACACCUCACUUAGCGCCUGUGCUGCCGUGCCCGCUUAGCGCCCGUACUGGACUGGGUCUGCUUCCAACUUUCUUCUUUUCUUUAGCAUUUCUCUUGCUUUUUGCUUAUUACACCUUCAACCUUCAAUCUGCAGCCAAAAAUCUAAACUUUAUCAAUUCUUAGCUUUUUAAUUAAAAUAACUGCUAAAUAAUUAAUUUUAAGCCAAAAUUUGCAUGAUUUUCUAUUAUUAAUUCAUAAUUAUUUAGCAGUUAUCAAAAUUCCCUAAAUUAAACUUUGCUUGUCCCCAAGCAAAUAAAUUCUCAAGCAAUUUCUAAUUGUUCCAACACUGUCAAUGGCUGCAGUUCUUCAAUUCCUUGACUGGUUCUUUCUGCAUUUGGCAUAAUCUUAAAAUGAAAGCACAAAAAACACAAGAGCUGAAUCGGUUAAUUAUCUGGAAUUCAAUCAAGUUUGGCUUGCCUUACUUUCCUCUCAAGGCUGGUGUUUCCCUCUACUCAUAAGUGUCUGGUUUAGUGUUUGCAAUCUAACAACCUGCAAGUAAGAUUCCAGAGAUUUGCAUUUCAUCUCUGUUAAGGUUAUCUUUAAUUACCUUUGGCGGAUCACUAAGGACUUUAUUGGCUUGUAUCGGGGCCUGGCUAUCAAAAAAAAAAAAUCAUGGUUUUUCUUGGAAAUUCAAACUUAGGAUUAUAAGAGAGCAAAAUUUCAAUUCUACCUAGGCCUUUUACUUAGCCCUUUUAUUUCUCCACAACACUUUUCCUUUGACACCUCUCUUUAUUUUAUUUUAUUUUGCCCUUUUAAAAGUUUUUUUUUAAAAAAACCUGGAAGGAAUUGGGCUUAUAAUUUGCAAAAGGUGUCUUACUGUAUGCUAUUCUAUUAUCUUGGCCACUUAUCCUUUCAUCCCCAAAUCCCCCAAAUUAAGACCUUUAUAACCCCUUUUUUUGCUCUCUUAAAAUCCUAAAAAGGGUCAAGACUAUCAAUUUUUGGCUCAAGGGUCAAUUCAAAAUAAUCUAUUGGCUCAACAUGGGUGCAAAGGGUAGAAUUAUGUUGGGUUGGCUUUUUGGCUAAGUAGCUAAACGAAACAAACAUGGCCUUGAUCAUAUCCAUCUUAAGUAACUAAUCUAACAGUCUAAGAAUGACGCAAAACUAGGAACUUAAGAAUAGGCGUUUUCUCUCACAAUUAAGUUCACACUCUCACCAGGACUAAGUAAGUAUUCGGCGUACCAGGUAUGACCAUGUUCCAUCAAGCUAACCUUUUCCACUCUAUGCGGUUCAUGUUCCAUUUCUUGACCUGACUUUUGCUUCCAGAACCAGUGUUUCUCCAAUGAUCAGUAGCAUCUCAAGUGUUGGACCUUUCAAAACAAGCUAAAGAAUUAUGACUUCUCAAGUUAUCAUGCAAUUAUUACUCAGAAAACACAUACUGAAUUCUAAUAUUAUUACUACUACUUUUUAAGUUCCAAACAGACUACAUUAAAAAUAAAGACAUAAAAACAUAAAACAUCAAAACAUAAACUAAGAUCCUGUGCUGCCUCCGCCCGAAAUCUGCCCAUGGGCCCCAAUCUGCUGCUGCCAAAUCAACAAUAAUGUCGUCAUCAACUACAGCAUCUCCCGAGCCAGCUCCAGAUGGCUCUUCCCCCCUAUCAGUAAAGGGUUGGGCUCUUGGUCAUGCGACCUACUGAAUAUAGGCCUUUGGAGUUGUGAGGGGCGGAUCCAUCUUCAUAUGUAAGGACAAUCGAUGCAGGUCUUGAAUAAUGAUUUGCUGGCCCUGAUACAGGGACCUGAGCAUCUGUCCAUGCAUAUGUAGGGGUGCUGAAGUGGAUGCAAGUGGAGGGAUCGAUCCCUGAGAGGAAGGCUGAGAAGGAGGUUGAGGAGGAAGAGGAGCCUCUGAUGCUGAUGCUGGGGCUCUGGUGCAUGCUGUAGAAGCAAGCUUCAUGAUGAUGAAUCAAGUUGAUUCAAGUAGUUUUGAUGAUGACAAAGAUGAUGACAAAAAGCCCAAAGAAUGAUUUCAAGAUUGAGUCAACAAGUUCAAGAUCAAUAUUAAUUUCAAUUUUCAUGAGAAGAAAUCAAGAAGAUUCAAGAAUCAAGAGAAGUUUGAUUUCAAGAUUCAAGAGAAGAUGAAUUCAAGAUUCAAGAGAAGAAAUCAAGAAGAUUUCACAAGGGAAGUAUUGAAAAGAUUUUUCAAAAAAAAAAACAUAGCACAGUUUUGUUUUUCAAAAGAGUUUUUCUCAAAAUUUUCUAAGUUACUAGAGUUUUUACCCCCUGGUAAUCGAUUACCAGUUUCCUGUAAUCGAUUACCAGUGGCAAAGUUUGAUUUCAAAAGCUUUUAACUGGAUUUGCAACGUUCCAAUUGUUUUUUGAAUGGUGUAAUCGAUUUCAAUAUAUUGGUAAUCAAUUACCAGUGUAUCUGAACGUUGAAAUUCAAAUUAAAUUGUGAAGAGUCACAUCUUUUCAUAAAAUGCUUUGUGUAAUCGAUUACAUGGUUUUGGUAAUCGAUUACUAGUGACAAGUUUUGUAUAAAAAUCAAGAGAUUUAACUCUUCCAAUGGUUUUCUCAAGGUUAUAACUCUUCCAAUGGUUUUCUUGACUAGACAUGAAGAGUCUAUAAAAGUAAGACCUUGACUUGCAUUUUAAGUACUUGAUAUAACUUUUCAUAUAUACUUUUGAACGUCUUCUUGAACUUCCUUUGCCAAAAGCUUUCUAAGUUUUCUGGUUUCCAAAACUUGUUCUUUCACAGAAAACAAAAGUGUGUUAUAUCUUUUCAUUCUCUUCUUCCUUUGCCAAAAAGAAUUCGACAAGGACUAACUGCCUGAAUUCUUUUUGUGUCUCUCUUCUCCCUUUUCCAAAAGAACAAAGGACUAACCGCCUAAAUUAUUUUGUGUCUCCCUUCUCCCUUUUCAAAGAAUUCAAAACGACACAAUCUGAGAAUUCUUUUGAUUCUUCUGUUUCCCUUAAACAAAAGAUUUCAAAGGACUAACCGCCUGAUAUAUCUUUUGUUUUCCCUUCACAAAGUUUCAAAGGACUAACUGCCUCAAAACUUUGUCUUAACACAUUGGAGGGUACAUCCUUUGUGGUACAAGUAGAGGGUACAUCUACUUGGGUUGUUGUAACUGAGAACAAGAAAGGGUACAUCUCUUGUGGAUCAUUUCAAGUGGAGGGUACACCCACUUGGUUGUUCAAAGAGAACAAGGGAGGGUACAUCCCUUGUGGAUCUUUGCUUGUAAAGGUUUUUACAAGGUUGAAAGAAAUCUCAAGGACCGCAGGUCGAUUGGGGACUGGAUGUAGGCACGGGUUGUUACCGAACCAGUAUAAAAUUCUUGUGUUUGUCUUCUUCUUCCCUAUACUCUUUAAUUUCCGCUGUGCACUUUAAUUAUCGCUUUUACUUUUGGUUAAGUUUCUUUUUCUAUUCUUUAUUUUCUUAACUUUGUAGUAAAAGCCUAAUUAAAUCUAGUAACAUUAAGAAUGAUAAAUUUUUAAUUAGUCAAGGCACAUUAAUAAUUAAUUCAACCCCUCUUCUUAAUUAUUCCAAGGCCAUUUGAUCCAACACAUGCACGACGGACCCCUGAAAAUGUGAUAGAGGGGUCUGCGGGGUUCCAGCAAUUCUUCCGAAUAUAAGCAAGGUUGAUCACAGGACUGAGUGACUCAAAAAUUAGGGUAUCGGAGACAACCCUCUGAAUGUCACACAGCGCUGAGAUCAGUGCUGGAAACCCGAGCUUGGAAGUGCUGGACUAGACGAUCUGGCUGAUCUGCCGAGAAAUGAGGUUGCCCAGGUCCAGGUCCAUCUUUAUCACCAAGCCAUAUAUGGAGUCGGGCCCUGUCAACAUUAAUAUUAGAAGUGUGAGAAGUAGGAGCAAGAUUAAAAUACGAAAGGACACUCCAUGUUUGAGCGAGUGUCGUCAGGUCCUUCCGCAGCAACUUCCAAGGGGCACCAUCCAUAUUCAGCACAAAACGCCCCCUUGGUGUACACAAGGUGGAAAGGAUGGCGUCGUGAUCGGGAGGAGUGUGGAGGUACUGGGAGUAAGCUGGGUACUCCUCCCCAUCUACCAGGAUGAACGGGGUGUCAAGGAAGUCAUUAAUCAUCUUAGCAUCAAACCUGACCAUAUAAGUUGGAGUAGAACUCCUUCACCAGAGCGAUGUCAAUCCUCUUCUCUGGAAGCCUGGUCAAGACUUGGUCCCAUCGACGCCUCUGGAGCUCCUGAAGGAACUCGUCAAACAUCCUGGGUGCGAGCUCUACAUUCCUCUCCGAAAGAAUGUUCCGGAGCUGAAUGUUGUCCUAGUAUCUAUGCUGGAUGCUUCCCCAGGUGUGGGCACAGCUCGACGUUUGCUGGAAGCCGUCUGAAAAGAAAAAGAAAAACAAAAAAAAGAAGAAACAGACUGCAGUUAGUAAACAGAGGGGGAUGCAAAAAGAAAUUCAGAAAGUGUGAAUAGUAAGCAAGGGGUGCAAAAAGUAAAGCACGAGGUUGAUGGGCCCUAAGGCCCAGCCUCGUGCUUAGUGCCUUCUUCCUGGUGGUGUUGGCACGCGCUUAGCGCAACUGGUACGCGCUUAGUGCAUUCACUGAGAUUCAUGAGCACGCUUAGCGCGACGGUGCCGGUUAAGCGCGUGUUGCAUUUUCAUAUCCUAUCUGCUGCAAGCUUAACGCACUCUUCUUUCUUCUUUCCCAUGUUGCCUGUUCCCGCUAAGCCUCUGUGUAGGGCUUAGCGUGAUGGUACCUACAAAUCAUUGUGGCAACAGUCCAGAUUCCAAAUCUUACCUCUUUUCGUGAAAAACUGAGUGAAAGGCAUAGGAACGUGAGUAGGCUUUUGGAAAAUGAAGAGAAAAAAGAGUAAAGGGAGUGGAAGUGUAAAAGAGAAGAAAGGAAAUGAGCUGAGGUGGCUAAAAAUUUUAAAGGCACCAAAGGCAGAUGAGGGGUUGGGCAGCUUCAAAAACUGUCCAGCAAUUUAUGGUUUGCGUGCUUAGCGCGUAGGUGGCCGCUAAGCGCACCAAGGGAAGCAUCCCUUGGUUUUCCCUCAAUAUUUUAAAAUUUUAAAAUUGAAAAUGUACCUGGGCGCUUAGCGCCUAGAUGCACGCUAAGCGUGUGACUUCGUGUAGCCCACUCCUUUUCUGCUGUUUGCACCCCUACUGUUGUUGACUUCACCUGCUGGACUUUUACUGAUUGCACCUCCUAUUUGCUAUUUGCACCUGUUGGGCUUUUUUUUUUUAUUAAAAGAAGACUACAUUUGUACAAAAAUACAUUGGGUUGCCUCCCAACCAGUGCUCAGUUUAAUGUCUUCAACUAGACACUAGGCUUUCUUCAAGGAUCAUUCAAGUAGAUAAUGGUCGUCAAUCUCUCUAAUUGCCCUUCGUUAUAAAUCUUUAAGCGCUGUCCAUUGACGAUCCAUUUCUUCUCAAAAUUCUCUUCUCUAGGGUCCACCAAUUAUACUGGUCCAUGAGGUCUGACUUUUUUUUAUUAUAAACGGCCCUGACCACUUAGACUUCAACUUACCUGGGAACAACCUUAGCCUUGAGUUAAAGAGUAAUACAUGCUGCCCUAGCUGGAAUUCUUUCCUUUGUAGCUUCUUGUCAUGAUAUGCCUUCAUUUUUUGCUUGUAGAUUAUGGAUGACUCGUAGGCAUUUAGUCUCAUUUCUUCCAAUUCCAGCAACUGUAGUUUCUUCUUUUCUCCGCAUGUGUUGUUAUCAAAGUUGAGCAAUUUGAGAGCCCAAUAUGCUUUAUGCUCCAGCUCCAUUGGUAAAUGACAUGCCUUCUCAUACACUAGCUGAAAUGGUGAUAAGCUGAUGGAAGUCUUGAAUGCUGUCCUGUAGGCCCAGAGAGUAUCGUCGAGCUUCAAGGCCCAAUCCUUUCUUGAUGAUGCAACUGUCUUCUCCAGGAUUUGCUUGAGCUCUUUGUUAGAAAUUUUCGCCUGGCCGUUCGUUUGAGGGUGAUAAGGUGUGGCCACCUUAUGUCUUACAUUAUAGUGCUCCAGGACUUUCUUCAACUGAUUGUUGCAGAAGUGCGUUCCCCCAUCACUAAUCAAGGCUCGUGGGACUUCAAAAUGGGAAAAAAAUGUUCUUCUUUAGAAAUUUUAUCAUUACCCUGGCAUCGUCUUUUGGAGUGGCUAUGGCUUCCACCCAUUUGGAGACGUAAUCCACGGCUACCAGGAUAUAGACAUUCCCGUAUGAAGAAGGAAGAGGCCCCAUGAAGUCUAUGCCCCAACAGUCAAAGAUCUCUACCUCCAUGAUGUUCUGCAAAGGCAUCUCAUUCCUUCGCGAAAUCCCCCCUGUUCUCUGGCCUUUAUCACAACAACGCACAAACUCGUAAGCAUCUUUAAAAAUAGAGGGCCAGAAAAAACCUGAUUGUAACACUUUUGCUGCUGUUUUGUCCCCACCGUGGUGUCUGCCAUAGGGUGAACUGUGGCAGUGCCAAAGAAUGCUCCGUGCUUUCUCCUUUGUGACGCAUCUCCUCAAUAGAUUAUCAACCCCUGCCCUGAACAAAUGAGGAUCAUCCCACACAUAGAAGUAUGCGUCAUGCAAGAAUUUCUUCCUCUGACUCCAACUAAAUUCUUCUAGAAUGAUUCCCGUGGCUUUGUAGUUAGCCAUAUCUGCAAACCAAGGUCUGGUGGCAACCUACAAAAGAAACUCAUCAGGAAAUUCCCUUUUUACCUCUGGUUUUUCCUUGGUGACUUCUUCAUUCUUUAACCGGGACAAAUGAUCGACUACCACAUUCUCGGAUCCUUUCUUGUCCUUGAUGAUGAUGUCAAAUUCUUGUAUCAGUAGGACCCAUCUAAUCAACCUCGGCUUUGAGUCUGUCAAGGCGAGCAGGUGCUUGAUGGCAGCAUGAUCUAUGAAAAUGGUGACCCUCGACCCUAUCAAAUAAGACCUGAAUUUCUCCAAGGCAAAGGCAAUGGCUAACAUCUCUUUUUCUGUGGUCGCAUAAUUCAAUUGUGCUUCGUUAAGGACCUUGCUAGCAUAAUAGAUGGCGUGAAAUACCUUGGCGUGCCUCUGUCCCAAAACUGCUCCUACUGCAUAAUCAUUGGCAUCACACAUUAAUUCAAAAUCUUUACUCCAGUCUGGUGCAAUCAUUACUGGUGCAGUGGUGAGCUUAUUCUUCAGUGUCUGAAAUGCUGCUGAACAUUCUUCAUCAAACUUAAAAACCACGUCCUUAUUCAGCAGAUUGCUUAAGGGUCUGACAAUCUUCGAGAAGUUCUUGAUGAACCUCCUGUAGAAACCUACAUUCCCUAAGAAACUUCUGACGCCUUUAACAUUCAGUGGUGGCGGCAACUUCUCAAUGACGUCUAUCUUUGCCCGAUCAACCUCAAUCCCUCUAGCUGAGAUCUUGUGGCCCAGGACUAUGCCCUCUCGAACCAUGAAAUGACACUUUUCCCAGUUUAGUACCAAGUUAGUCUCCACGCACCUCUGUAGUACCAUCUCUAGGUUCCUUAAGCAGUUGUCAAAUGAGGGUCCAAAAACUGAGAAGUCAUCCAUAAAUACUUCAAUGCUCUUCUCCACCAUGUUUGAAAAAAUGGCUAGCAUGCACCUCUGGAAUGUGGCUGGUGCGUUACAUAACCCGAAUGACACCCUUCUGUAAGCAAAGAUGCCAAAGGGGCAUGUAAAGGCUGUCUUCUCUUGAUCCCUGGGGUCCACCGCGAUCUGGCUGUAUCCUGAGUAUCCGUCCUAGAAACACUAAUAUGCCUGCCCUGCAAGCCUCUCCAGCAUCUGAUCCAUGAAAGGUAAGGGGAAAUGGUCCUUCCGUGUGACUUCAUUCAACUUGCGGUAGUCGAUACACAUUGAUGCAAGCUCCAUGGGAGCUUGUAGGCCUAGGAUCUUCUUCAUCAAUGGAUUCCUUUGCUUCUUGGAAGAUAAAUGGCAGCGGAAUGGGGAAGGAAGAGAGAGAGGAGACGCCACUUCAAGGAGAAGAUGAGUCUAGAAGAAGCUCACCACCAUAGGAGGCCAUGGAUAAGAGCUUGGAGGAAGAAGGAGAAGAAUGAAGGAAGAGGGAGAGAAGAGCACGAAAUUUUGUGCUCUAAAUGAGCUUUGAAAUCUGAAGUUUAAUAUUCAAAUGUUCAAAGUUGAAAAAAAUGCACACACAUGACCUCUAUUUAUAGCCUAAGUGUCACACAAAAUUGGAGGGAAAUUCAAAUUUCACUUGAAUUUGAAAUUGAAUUUGUGGAGCCAAAAUUUCACUAAUUAUGAUUAGUGAAUUUUAGUUAUGGUUCAGCCCACUAAUCCAAGAUCAAUUCCAAGAUUCUCCACUAAGUGUGCUUAGGUGUCAUGAGGCAUGAAAAGCAUGAAGGACAUGCACAAAGUGUGACUAUAUGAUGUGGCAAUGGGGUGUAGUAAGCAAAUGGUCACCUCCCCCUCUAAAAUUUAAUUGGAUUGGGCUUCUACCAAUUCAAUUAAAUUUAUUUCCAACCACACACAUCAAAUAUCCACUUAGUGCAUGCGAAAUUACAAAACUACCCCUAAUACAAAAACUAGUCUAGGUGCCCUAAAAUACAAGGGCUGAAAAAUCCUAUAUUUCUAAGGUACCCUACCUACAUUAUGGAGCCCUAAAUACAAGGCUCACAAAUAAUGAAACCUUAAUAUAAUAUUUACAAAGAUAAGUGGGCUCGUACUUAGCCCAUGGGCCCGAAAUCUACCCUAAGGCUCAUAAGAACCCUAGGGCCUUCUCUUGCAUCUCUGGCCCAAUCUACUUGGAGUUUUUCUAUCCAAUGCCCUUGCGGGGUAGGAUUGCAUCACACAUCCGCCAACAAGUGACAAUUCGUGUAGGUAUCAAGUUAUUCCUCUCAUUUCGUACGACUGUCAUUCCGCCUUUCUUAGGAACCACCUGUACUGGGCUUACCCAAGCACUGUUAGAGAUGAGGUAUAUGAGCCCAGCCUCCAAAAGCUUGAGCACCUCCUUUCUUACCUCUUCCUUCAUCGUUGGAUUCAACCGCCUCUAGGUUUGUCGGACUGGCUUGUAGUCUUCUUCCAUCAUUAUCCUGUGCAUGCAGUAAGCAGGGUUGAUUCCUUUGAGAUCCGAUAUGUGCCAUCCAAUUGCUUUCUUGUGUUUCUUCAGAAUGUCUACCAACCUGUUUUCUUCUUCUGUUGUGAGUGCAUUACUGAUCACUAUAGGCUUAUCUUCCUCCAAGAACAUAUACUUCAGAUGAUUGGGCAAUAUCUUCAACUCUACCUUCUUCUUCUCGGACGAAACUUCCUUCUUUAGUGUCUCAAAAUCGGCUUCUCCCUCAGGAAUACUGUCUUGAUGAUCCAAGUCUUCCAAGAAAGCCUUCAGAUCUUCUUCCUCUUCACUGGUUAGGCAGUCUAGCGCAUUUACCAUGGUUUUUUCCAGCAAAGUCUGUGGUGUCUUGAGAAUACUGACGUCUUCCUUAUCAAUCUCCUCCACUCUGAAGAACUUCCAACCCUCCUGUGGGUACUUCAUUGCCUUGAAAAGGUCGAAGGUUAUCUUCUGAUUGUCAAUACUCAGCUCUAAGUUUCCAUUCCCUAUGUCCAUCACAAAAUUGGCAGUCAUCAUGAAGGGUUUGCCUAAGAUAAGGGGAAUCUUUGUGUCUUCUUAGAUAUCCAUGAUAACAAAGUCCACCGGAAAAGUGAAGUGGCGUACCUUGACCAGGACAUCUUCUACCACCUCGUAUGGUCUUGUGAUUGAGUAGUCUGCCAGUUGAAGCGUCAUCUUGGUGGGGUCUAUCUUCAAAUUCCCAAUUCUUCUGCACAUUGAUAAGGGCAUCAAAUUGAUACUUGCUCCUAGAUCAAUGAGGGCCUUGUUUACCGCUUCCUUCCCUAUGGUGCAUGGGAUGGUAACACUUCCGGGGUCCUUAAACUUCUUGGGUAGCUUCCUCUGAAUUAUUGCACUGCAGCUGCCUCCUACCACAAUAUUCUCGUUGUCAAUAUACUUCCCAUUCUUGGUGAGGAUGUCUUUCAUAAAUUUGGAGUAGAGGGGCAUCUGCUGUAAGGCUUCCCCGAAUGGCAUGGUGAUUUCUAGCCCUUUGAAUAUUUCCAAGAAACGUUUGAUGUAACGCUUCUUGUUCUUCCUGGUGGGUGCCAUAGGAUAUGGGAGAUCCUGUGGGAGGGCUAGUGGUUCUUCCUUCUUGGCUUCUCGUGCUCUCUGGCUCUUGGUCUUAGGUGCUGAUGUCACCUUCUCUUCUUCUUUUGUCUCUUUUUCUUCUUUCUUCUUUGUCCUUCUUUCUUCUGGCAGGUCUUCUCCUUCAAUAUUACCCUCCUCCUGCGCUCUUCUCUGCCCUCGAGUCAGCACUGCUUUACAUUCUUCCUUCGGGUUCUUCUCCGUGUUAGCCUUGAAAGUUCUAGUAGGUCGUUCGGCUUUAUCAUGCGCCAGUUGGCCCAUUUGAACUUCCAGAUUCCAAAUGGUUGCGUCCGUGCUCUUCAGAUGUGACCUUGUCUCCUGGAUGAAUUGCAGCAGCAGUUCCUCUAUGUUGGUGGGCUUCUCUUGCUGAUUUGGACCUUGGCUAGGGUGCUGGUAUGGUGGCUGGUUCCUGUGUUCCUUGUAUUGAUUUCCUUGAUUCCUCCAGCCUGAGCCUUGCGUAAAGUUUCUUCCUUGAUUGAAUCCCAGUGGCCCGUGAUUAAAUCCUGUUGCCCCUUGAUUGAAUCCAAACGGAUUUCCUAGGUUGUAGCCUUGGAAUCUGUGGCGAUUCGGUAUGCCCAUAUAAUUUACUUCUCGAGAGGGAUCUUGUUGGAUUACACAUUGUCUGGGCUCAUGUGUCCCUCCGCAUGUGGGGCAUCCUUCAACCUGCAAAACAGAAAAGUGGGAAGAACUUACCGCUUGUAAUUGUUAAGGUAACUUGCUGAGGGUUUCCGUAAGGGCUUCUAUUUGCCUAGUCAACAGCUUGUUUUGUGCCAAAGUUGCGUCCUGUGUGCUGAGCUCCAAGAGGCUUCUUUUUGUAGGGACAUAAGUGCGAUCACGAAGGAUAGUUUGAUCGCUAGCAGCCAUGUUCUCGAUGAGCUCCAUUGCUUCUUCGGGAGUCUUCAUCUUGAUCUUCCCUCCUACGGAUGCAUCUAGCAGCUAUUUUGAUUGAGGUCACAGGCCAUCUAUGAAGAUGUUUAGUUGUGCUGGCUCGCUGUAUCCAUGUGUUGGUGUUUUUCUUAGCAACCCGUGGAAACGAUCUAGUGCUUCGCUAAGGGAUUCAUUGGGAAAUUGAUGGAAAGAAGAGAUCUCCAUCUUCCCUUCAGCGGUCUUUGACUCUGGGAAGUACUUCUUUAAGAAUUUUUCCACUACUUCUUCCCAUGUUCUUAAGCUGUUGCCUUUAAAGGAGUGCAACCAUCUUUUCACCUUUCCUGCUAGUGAAAAGGAGAAGAGGUUAAGGUGUAUCACAUCUUCUGGAACUCUGACGAUUUUAACGGUGUUGCAUAUCUCUAUGUAUGAGGCUAGAUGCGCAUAUGGGUCUUCAUUUGGGAGACCAUGGAAGAAGUUUCCCUUAAUUAACUGAAUAAGAGAGUGUGGGUAGGAGAUGUUGGCUGCUUGGACCUCCGACCUUGCAAUACUGGUGAAGAACUGAGGGGUGGCGGUAUUAGAGAAGUCUUAUAGUGUGACUCUUCAUGCCGACUCCCUGUCCAUCUGAGUGUGAUUUGGAGAAGGAGGAGGUGAGGUGUAACUGCUUCCUGCUCCCUUCUUCUUCUUGCAGUGUUGUUACGUCGGCAAGUAGCUUCAAUUUCUAAGUUAAUAGGAACAACGUCUCUAGAUGUAGUUCUACCUCGCAUAAAAACAAAAGGCACUACCCGUGCAAUUUAUGGGAGAAGAAAGAAAGGAUAGAAGAGAAAGUAAAGAAUACUAGAUGAAUGAGUCAAGAAAGGAAGAAUUGAGCUUACAAAUUGACAUAGUAUGACAAUUAAGUGCGAGAACAAAAUCCCCGGCAACGGUGCCAAAAACUUGUUGAGGUGUUUGGCAAGUGUACCAAAUCGCUCUAAGUAGUAAUUCUCGGAAGUCCGAGUAUCGUUUCCACAGGGAUUUUAUUGCACUUUAUUGAAUACUCUUCAAUUUGUAAGUGAGAAGUAAAUAGUAAAAAGCAAGAAUAAAUGCAAGAGUAAAUUGCUACUACUAGAUCAAACAAUUUAAAAAUAUAAUUAAUUAAGAUGAAGAUGCUAAGACCGGACAAACCUAAUUGGCCUACGAUGCAUGAAAUUAUGAUGUUCAUUACCAAUGCAAUUGAACUAGUUCUACCCACAUCUGUUAAUUUUACUUGCCCCUGAUGCCUCACGAUGACAAGCCUAUUUUAACUACCUAUCUUCCAAAUGCCUUUGUGAAGACUCAAUAAUUAAAAUGCAUUAAGGUUGAAUUCUAGAUGUUGCUAAAUGCAUGGGAAUUGGGCCAUCAUUCUAUGCCUAGCAAUGCUAACCCAAUGAUUCUUUUCUUUAUUUGUUCUAUUAGGUGUUACCCUUUCCUAAGCGUGUAACCCCUAAAAACUGAUGCAUGCAUUGCCUCUUAAACCCUUAUUAGGAAAUACCCUCUUCCGAGCGAAUAAAACCCAAAAGAAAUUUAAGACAUAAUGCAAGAUAAAAAGAAAAGAAUUAGAACAUAAAUCCUGGAAGGAAUUCUCUUUGCAUUGAUAACUCUUGAAGUACACCAUACAUCGUUGGCUUUUUAGGCCUGCUAGGCCUUAGCUAGGGGAUUAGCCGCUCAUGGCCAUUGAGGGGCUUUACAACUGAGGGGUGAAAGAAAGAAUGGAUAGGCAAAAUAAAUAAUAUAGAGAGAAAGGGAGAGCUCAGGCUUGGAAUGCUGAGAGAAGUGUUCUGAGGCGAGGUGUGUGAUUCUUCCUGGACUGGCUCUCUAUUUAUAGCUACUGAAAUGGGCUUUGGGCUUUCGUAGGCGCGCUUAGCACGACACCUCAUGCUUAGCAUGUUUAGAUUGUGCGCUUAACGCGUGUUGCAGGCUUAGCGUGUGCUUAUGUUGGAUCGUGUGCUUGGCGCGCGUAACGGAUCCUGCGUCUUCGUGCUUAACGCCUCGCUUAUGCCCGCUUAGUGUGUACUGGACUGAGCCUGCUUCCAACUUUCUUCUUUUCUUCAGCUUUUCUCUUGCUUUUUGCAUAUUACACCUUCAACCUUCAAUUCUACAGCCAAAAAUCCAAACUUUAUCAAUUAUUAGCUUUUUAAUUAAAAUAAAUGCUAAAUAAUUAAUUUUAAGUCAAAAUUUACUUGAUUUUCUAUUAUUAAUUCACAAUUAUUUAGCAUUUAUCACGUAUAUAUACAUACAUUUAAGAAGGAUGAUUCAUUGGAUGGAAUAGUAUUACGGUUUAAUGGCUAUACAUGCAAAGACAAUGUAAAUAAAAUAAUUGACAAAUGAUGAUUAAGGAACUAAAAGGAAGAAACAAAAUUUGAGUUCCAUAAAAUUAUAUUAUUUAUGACUUUUUUUUUUACAUUUAUAUAUAAUUUCGACAAUAAAUGUUUUUUUAAUUUCUUAAAAUACUUAAUUAUUAACAAAACCUAAAACAAUUUUAUACAAUCAACCAAUAAAAAAUAUUCUUAAUAUGACUUUUGAAAUAAUUAUUACAAAAAUUUCAAUAUAUUUUGAUUUGAGAUAAAACAAAAAAUUAAGGUUAUAAAAUCCUUACCUACUGCAAAUGAUAGCAGAUUGAACCAUAUCCCUAUUGACAAAAAAGAAAAAAAGAAGUCAAUUUCGGAUUUCAUCACAACGAGCUAGAGAAGACUAUUUAGCAUAUAUGUCAAAGCUUAUACCCAUUAUCAGUUUAAAAACUUUUAUUCAAAACAAAUUUUUUUUUUUAUUUAAUCCUUGGUUUCAUAUAGAUACAGGUAAAAAUAUAAAACUAAUAAGUUAUUUUUUUUGUUUAAAAAAUGAUUUUAUUAAUAGGAUGAAUAAGAAAUAUAAAUUAAAAUAUAAAUACAGACUUUUGAAACCUUGUUUUACCAAAUGCAAAAAGAUAUAUGGUUUAACAGAUUAAAGAUGGUUCUAUUGAUGAUUUGUAAAUAUAUAAUUAUUUACAAUGUUAACUGAAGAAAUAUAAUUGGGUAUUGAUAGAGUGCACAAAGAUUAUUUUUUUAAAGUGUACAAGAAUUCACAUUUAAUAUAUUGGUUGGAUGUUCGAAAUGAGUGAGUAAAAUGGCAAUGAUCAAAGCAAGGAAUAAAAUAAAAAUUCUAACUCUAGUGAAAUGUUUUGCAUGGUUAAUAUUAUGUGUAGCAUAUAAAACCAGAGGAACUCACCUAUUAUGACAGCAUUAAAAGCUUCUGCAAAAAAAAAAAAUUACUCGAGUGAAUAGCGUGAUAUAGAAUCAUUUGAUUACAAUGUUAAUGUGAGAUGCCAUAAGUAAGGUAUUUAUUAAAGUAGAAUAUCAAUUUAAUUAGUUCUUAAAAUUGAUAUUAUCCAUCAAAUUUGAAAAUAUCAACCAAUUUAGUUGUUGAGGAUUUUGCAUAUCGGUCAGUUUCGUUACUAAUAUUAAGUUGCAUCAAGGACCAAAUUGAAGUGGUUAUCAAUUUCUUUUCUUAUAGAAAGGAGAAAAAUAAAUAGUUACUGCCAAAUCUAGCUAGGGAUCAAUUUGAUGUUUAACUAAUAUUGUUGAAUUAUGUUAUAUUAUACUAAUAAAUCAUAUAAGUCAUUUUUUCAAAUGCAAAGCCAAUGGUUCUAUUCGUCUGUAUGUAUUAAAUAACUCACGUACAUAUACAUACAUUUAAGAAGGAUGAUUCAUGGAUUAGUAGAAAAGGUUUAAUAGUAAUGCAUGCAAUGACAAUGCAAACAAAAUAAUUGACAAAUGAUGAUUAACAACUAAAAGGAAGAAAAAAAAAUUGAAUGGCAUAAAAUUAUAUUAUUUAAUUUUUUUUACAUUUAUAUAUAAUUUUUAUAAUAAAUAUUUUUUUUGUUUUAAUUUCUUAAGAUACUUAUUAACAACCCAAAAUAAUUUUAUACAAUCAAUCAAAUCAAUCAAUAAAAAAGUAUUCUUGAUAUAACUUUUGACAUAAUUAUUAUAAAAAAUUCAAUAUAUUUUGAGUCCUUAUAAAACAAAAAAUUAAGGUUAUAAAAUCCUUACCUUCUGCAUAUGAUAGCAGCUUGGACCAUAUCCCUAUUGACAAAAAAAAAAUCAAUUUCGGAUUUCAUCACAACGAGACAGAGAAGACUAUUAGCAUAUAUGUCAAGUUUAUACCCUUUAUCAGUUUAAAAACUUUUAUUCAAAACAACAAAAAAGUUUUAUUUAAUCCUUGGGUUCAUAUAGACACAGGUAAAAAAAAAUAAAACUAAUAAAUCAAUUUUUUGUUUAAAAACUGAUCUCAUUAAUAGGAUGAAUAAGAAAUAUAAAUUAAAAUUUAAAUACAGACUUUUGAAACCUUGUUUUACCAAAUGCAAAAAUAUAUAUGAUUUAAGAGAUUAAGGAUGGUUCUAUUGAUGAUUUGUAAAUAUAUAAUUAUUUACAAUGUUAAUUGAAGAAAUAUAAUUGGAUAUUGAUAGAGUGCACAAAGAUUUUUUCUUAAAGUGUACGAGAAUUCACAUUUAAUAUAUUGGUUGCAUGUUCCAAAUGAGUGAGUAAAAUGGCAAUUGUCAAAGCAAGGAAUAAAAUAAACAAUGUUAUGCUUAAGGUUUAAACAAAUAUUUCAAAUUUUUCAAAUGAUCACAAGAAACUCAUAAUAUAUACUAAUCAAACUAAAUUGUAACAAACUAAAUUAAUAACUAAUUUGUAACUAAUUAAACUAAUCUUUAAUUAACUUGAAACUAAUUAAACUCAUUUUUAUCUCUAAUAGUCUAAGAAGCACUGAUGCAGCACUCAUCGACAUGUGCCGCGUCGGACUUGCAUCGAACAUGCAAGCGGGUACAACUCCGGUGCGACGCGGUGUCCGUUGCUUUCGCUGUCACUGGGCACGGUUGGACAAUAGGACACACACGAUUGGACGCGGCCCACCAAGUGGACACGCGCGAUUGGACUCGGCCCAACAAGCCUCAGCUAUUUUUAUUAUUUAUUUAAAAAAUGCUUACCAAAUACGAAAACGGUUCUUCUUUGUCUACUCUUGCCGUUUCCCGCAAGCGAACCAAACGCCUCCAUUGCUGCACGUCGUUGCCUCCGUUUCGUCGCGCAGGUAGGCCCUUGUUUCUUUUCUCAUUUGCUCCUUGUUUCUUUUUUCAAUUUUUCUCGUUGUCGUUUCUAAUUUCUUCAUAAUGAACAAGCAUUAUUCUCGCUGUCGUGUUAUUAUUUUUUGGUUUUUCUCGUUGUCGUGUUAUUGCCGUUACUAUGAAUACAACAGUAUAGGUAUGAUAAGCCUUAUUUAUCGAAAGCAGGUAUGGCCGUAUAGCAAGCCUUAUUUUUUGGUUUUUCUCGCUGCCGUGUUAUUGCCUUUUUGAAAGGUCACUAUUGUUUUACACUUUUACUACUCUUUUAAGUAUUUAAUUUUUAAAUGGUUUUUUUAUUCUUUUUUUUUCUGAAAGCUUUUUAUUUGUAUUAGUAAAAAAACAAGGUGAUUUCUCUUCUAAUACCAAACAUUCCUUAAUUUGGUGGCAUUUGGUUGAUAAGUUCGUAGCUCUUGCAUAAUUUUUUGGUUUAGAAUUUAAAUUUACUGUCUACCUCUAAUCAUAUACUGUUUUGAAUAAAAUUAAGUUACAACAUGGCCAAUAAGACAUGAACAACAUUGAUUAGAAAUUGCUUUUGUUGUUUGUUUUUUACUUAGAAAUUUUUUACAUUUUUAAUUUUGUAAUUUUAUUUUAUUUAAUUAUAUAUAUAGUCGUGUUCGUGUCCUAUAUUUUGGACACUAAAUAUCCACGUGUUCAGUGUUCAUGUCCAUGUCCGUGCUUUAUAGUUAAUAGUUCUUCUGACAUUUCGGUUAAUUUUGAAGAGUUCUUCUGAGGGAGUAUUAAGUCUUGGAAGGAUUUGAUUAAUAUUAGAGGUGAACAUUAACCGUGAUAGCGAGACGUUAGACUUUUUGAAUUUUUGUGAAGAGGAUGAGAUUUGAAGGUUGGAAGAUGUGAAAGCUAACGAAACACGUAAGCAUCAAGAAUUCAAAUCAAUUUUUAUUUUUAUUUUUGUAAAGAAGCACCAAAUCAAUUAUCCUAUAUGCAGCUAGUGGCACCGAAUCAAAUGCGCUAGGCAUGUUUUGAUUUUUCAAGUCUUGAAGGUGUGUUCUAGCUCAUAUAUAUAUAUAUAUAUAUAUAUAUAUAUAUAUAUAUAUAUAUAUAUAUGGACCAACAAUGUUCUUUCUUCUUCUUUUUUUCUGAAUUGGACGAAUAGCUCUUCUCUCUGGGUAAAAAAGACAUUUAUUUGGUUAUAAAUUAUCUACAUAUAUUUCAUGCAUAAACUUAUAAGUCAUGCACACAUUUCCUUGAACAAACUUUAGUUAUUGUCACAUGUAUCAUUCAUUUGUCUUUGGCUACACUUUUCUGUAGUAUUAUGUGUAGAAGGUAAAGGACAACGUAGAUUUAGGAGAAUUCCACACACUAUAUCCAAAAAGUCCAGCACACCUUUUUGGACCCGUGGAAUAGAAAAAUUCAUUAAAGUCAGUGCCGACAGCUUAAUGCAGGUUUAAAUUUUAAAGAAUUUGAUAAGGUCAAGUUUGUAUCGGUAUAUGUCUGAGUUUCACUUUCUCUGUCAUAAUUGUGUGGGGGAGACAAUGCUUGGAACUUCAUAUGCGUGCGUGCACGGCACCUUGACCUUGACAGACUUUCAUAAGGUCGAGUUUGUAUAGGUAUAUUUCUCCCUCUCUGUCAUUAAUUUUGUUUUACAAGUGAUUAUAAAUAAAUGAAUAUAAUUAUAUAAAAUUAUUAAUAUACGAUUAAUGGUGUCACGAAAUUAUGGAACACCAAAUGUAGUUAAUAUAUGUGCAAAUGUAGAUUCAUCCAUGACACCUCAAAUUCAUAGACUAAGGCCAUGUGCAUAAGAGAAUAGGAAGAUUUAUUUGUAUCCAAACCCCACUAUGAUGUGGGAGCAACCAGCCUUACAUGACAACCAACUUCAAAGUCCUCUGCUAUUAAGUCACCAGCAAUAGUGUAUAUGUACCCUUUGGAGUGCCAGUUGAUGCAAGGAUCAGUUUCCACAUACUUUUCAUUGUCAAUCACUACAUGGUUACAAUUUAAGAAAUUCUUAAAUUUAAUAAAGAGCGUUGAAUUGGGAUUUUUAAUUAUUUUUUAAAAAUAAUAUUAUUGUUUGAUGAUAGUUUUAGUAAAAAUUAAUACAUAUUUUUACAAAUAAAUUUAAACAAUAGAUACAAAUUUUGUAAAAACACAAUUUAAAAAUAAAUAAAUUAAAACUCUAUCAAUUUAAAGCAUAAGAAAAACAAAAAUAUAUAAGACACAGAUUUUUUUUUCAAUCACGGAGACUACUUCCAGUUCUUAAUUGGUUGCAUUUUAAAUAAUAACGAUAAUGAAACAGUAAAAAUAAUAAAAAUAAGAGAUAAAUAAAUAUUGGUUAAACAACACUAUACUACUCAUUUACUUUGGAUCACACGCAUAAACACUCUCUUAAUAUCCUUGAGUUACUGAAGGAUGGAAAAGAAGGAAUAAAGUGGAAAAAAUUUAUUAAGACAAUUGAUAGAGAAUAAGAAUUAAAGAUAACGAAAAAUUUAAAUUACAAAGAGUAAAAUAAUAUUCUUCUAAACUUCUAUAGUAUAAUUAUUUUAAAUUGUUAAAGGGACCUCAAUUGAAAACUUAUGUGUAUUGUAACUUUUUCCUUAAAAUCAUGUGCUGCUCAUAUAAGAAUAUAAAUCUGUUUGCAUUUGGUUUAAUGUUAUAGUAUAAUUAUAAGUUAAAGUACAUGAUAAUAGUUAGAGGAAAAAUUAGAGUACGAGUAGUUAUACACAUGAACAUUAAGUCAAAUUGUAGUUAGCUUGGGACAUUUCUUUCAUGUGACUUACAUUUGAAUAUUAAGUUAUUAACAUUCCUUUAAUUGUGCAUCUUUAGGAAAUUGAUAUUUGAAAGGUAAUCUAGGUAAUUGAGAGAAGAAAUAUAUAUAUUAAUUGUAUGUCCAAAUAUGUGAAUUAGCUUGUGAGCGUGUUUUUGUAGCUUUGUAUGUGAAUAAUUAUAUUAGUAUAUGUAUAUUUGUGUGUUUAUUUAAGUAUAAUUGAAAUGUUGCAUUGUUUAUUCGAUAAAUUGGUAAUUUUGAAUUAUAUGAUAGAUACCUCUAUCUAAGAUGACAUGCAAUUAUUAUAGAUACUUUCAUUUGAAAUAGGAGAGAAAGAUUCUAGAUAUCUUCAUCUAUGAUGAAAAAGAUAGCAAAAAAACACCGUUGCAUAUUGCAUGAAAUAUGAAUUCACAAACCCUUUGAGAUUCACAUUGGUUCUAGGAAUCAAAGAAUUGAGUCUAAUGAUUCUAGAAAUUACUAAGUUGUGUCUCUGUUAUAUUUAUUUGAAUGUGUUGACGUGUUAUUGUUUAUUUAAAUAUUUUAUUUAUUGUGAAUGUCAUAAAUUAUGAUUGUUUUAAUCUAAUUUUUAUUGGAAUAUAUAGAUACAUAUAUUUAUAUACAUAUAUAUGUAUGUAUAUGUAUAUAUACAUACAUAUAUAAUUUUAUUUUAAAUUUAUUGCAUAUAUCAUAACUAAUUUUUUGGAUUAUCAUGUCUGCUAAGAACAAUAUUAUUUACAAAUACUUUAGGAUUAUUUUAUUCAUUAGAAUUAUCAUUUCAAUAAAAGUAUUAUUUUUAUAUCAUGAAAUUGUUGGAACUGAAGAGACUUUAGAGGACUUAGUUAUCUUUAAAUAUUUUUUUAGUUAUGUUAAUGUCACUGAUUACAUUAUAUUUUUAACAUUGAUUAUUUUUAGAUGUUCAUAUUUAAAAUAAUGUUUUUAUUUAUAUAAAAACAUAAUUAUUUGACUUUAUUUGUUAUAUAUAAAAUAUUUUGAUUAUCAUAAUUUUAAAAUUUUAUAUUCUUUUAAUAUGAAUUAUUAUUUUAAUGAUGGGUGUUACACAAGAAACCUUAAUUUGGACUUGUAGCCUAGAAAAAGUCACUAAAGUUUGUAUCGUGAAACUUAAUGCAAGUUUUAAGUUUCGAAGAAUUUGACAAGAUUGUCUUGUAUUAUAUAUGUCUAAGUCGAAUGGUUUGAUAAGGUUGUCUUGUAUUAUAUAAAGCUUAAUGUUAAUAGAAGCACUAUACUGAAUAGUCCAACACACCUUAAUUUGGAAUUGUGGUCUAAAUGUCACUAAGGUUGGUGCCGUGAAGCAUAAUGCAGGUUUAAGUUUCGAAGAAUCUGACAAGGCUGCCUUUUGUUAUCUAUGUCUUUUGUACCAUUAAUUGUUUUUAUUGUUUUGAGGAGAGGACUUAAACGCGUUUAGUUGACCCUGAUAGAGUUAAAUGAAAUUGAAGAAACUAUAGGUUAUUUUAAUUCGGUCAAAUACAUUUUUAGUCUUUUGUUAAAUUUUAGAUUUUGAGUCUCAGUCUCCUUUGAAUUAUUUAUUCAUUUUUAGACCUUUUUAUAUUUUUUUUCUAAUAAUUAGUCACUAAGAGAGUGAAAAUGACAUAAAAGACAGAAAUUUAAUUUUGAAUAGACUAAUUAUGAUUUUUAAAAAUAAAUAAGAGUUUAAAAUGAAAAAUAAAUUACUAAAAUUCAAAAUCUGAAAUUCGAUGUAGAUUAACAACUUAUUUUGCACUUUUAUUAUUAAAACUAAAAUUGAUAAUUAUUCAGAGCUUAUUAGGUUGGAAUUGUUGGAUUACAAUAAUAACUUAUUUAUAAAUUUCUGAAACUUUAUUUUUAUUUUUACACACAGAAUAUAGAUAAAGUUGUUUUAGCUUAAUCAGACUCUAUAAGUUUCGUAAAAAAUUCAUAAGUUUCGUCUAUAAUAAUUUUAUCAUUUUUUUAUCAUGAUUACUUCCAAUAAAAAAAAUAUAAUCUAUAUAGUAGCAGUGAAGCUAAAAUUUGUGCUGUGAAGCUUAAUGCAAGAUUUUAAGUUUCGAAGAAUUUGACAAGGUUGUCUUGUAUUAUAUAUGUCUAAGUCGAAGAGUUUGACAAGGUUGUAUUAUAUAUGUGCAAAAGGUAAAGGGCAUAACGUUAACAGAAGUAGUUCCACACACUAUACUGAAUAGUCCAACACACCUUAAUUUGGACUCGUGGCCUAGAUGUCACUAAGGUUGGUGCCGUGAUUGCAGGUUUAAGUUUCGAAGAAUCUGACAAGAUUGUUUUUUGUUAUAUAUAUCCUUUGUUAUUGGUGUGAGGAGACAAUGCUUAGGACUUAAAUGCGCUUAAUUGACCUUGAGAGUUAAAUGAAAUUGAAGAAACCAUAUAGGUUAUUUUAAUUAAGUCAAAUAAGUUUUUAAUCUUUUGUUAAAUUUUAGAUUUUGAGUCUUAGUCUCCUUUGAAUUAUUUAUUCAUUUUUAGACCUUUUUAUAUAUUUUUUUCCAAAUAAUUAGUCGCUAAGAGAGAGUGAAAAUGACAUAAAAAAGACAGAAAUUUAAUUUUGAAUAGAUUAAUUAAGAUUAUUAAUAAAAAUAAAUAAGAGUUUAAAAUAAAAAAUAAAUGACUAAAACGCAAAAUCUGAAAUUCGAUGUUAAUUAACAACUUAUUUAACCCUUUUAUUAUUAUAAAACUAAAAUUGAUAAUUAUUCAGAGCUUAUAGGUUGGAAUUGUUGGAUUACAAUAAUAUCUUAUUUAUAAAUUUCUGAAACUUUAUUUUGACUUUUACAUACAGAAUAUGGGCUUAGCUGUUUUAGCUUAAUGAGAGUCUAUAUAUUUCGUAAAAUAUUCAUAAGUCUCACCCAUAAUGAUCUUAUUAUUUUUUAUUAUGAUUACCUUUUGAUAAAAUAUACAUAUAAUCUAUAAAAAAAGGCAUACUGAACAGGUAGAUAAAUGAAUACUUAUAAUAAUUAAUAUUUAAGAUAGGGAGUGGGGACUUGAACUAAGGGACCUCAUUUUUCCUUUUAAAAAAUUGUGAAAAAACAUGGACUUUGACUGAGAAAUCGAGUUUUUCUCCCGUUCUAUCUGGUUUCCGCACCUGAUUGCAAAAUCAAAAAAUAUAAAUUAAAACUUUAAGCAUAAACUAAAAGAUACACCGAAGUGUAGUUUGUUAAAAUCACAUUUCUUUCCCCAACAAAAGAAAAUAAUGCUCCAAGAGAAUUCCAUAUUGAUCACACUGUUACUAAUGCUACAAUUUAUGGCAUUUCUUUCCUCAUUUAUUGGAAAUGCCAUAAAUUGUAAUUGUUUUAAUUUAAUUUUUAUUGGAGUAUAUAUAUAUAUAUAUGCACAUGCAUAUAUAAUUUAUUUUAAAUUCAUUAUGGAUAUCAUGACUAAUUUUUUAGAUUAUCAUGUCUGCUAAGAAUAAUACUAUUUACAAAUAUUCUAGGAUUAUUAUUUCAAUAAAAGUAUUAUUAUUAAAGCACAACGGUUGUUGGAGUUGAGAGGACAUAGUUAUCUUUAGAUACUUUUUUAGCUUUGUUAGAACGCACAACAAAUAUUAAAUGUGACGGAUUAUACUUUUAGGACCCAUUAUUCAUAGAUGUUCAUAUUUAGAAAUAAUGUUUUUAUUUAUAUAAAAAAUUAAUUAUUUGACUUUAUUUGUUACACAAAAUAUUUUCAGAUUAUCAUAAUUUUAAUUUUUUUUUAUUCUUUUAAUAUGAAUUGUUAUUUUAAUAAUGGGGUUACACAAGAAACUUUAAUUUGGACUUGUAGCCUAGAAAAAGUCACUAAAGUUUGUACCGUGAAGCUUAAUGCAGGUUUUAAGUUUCGAAGAAUUUGACAAGGUUGUCUUGUAUUAUAUAUGUCUAAGUUGAAUAGUUUGAUAAGGUUGUUUUGUAUUAUAUAUGUCUAAGUCGAAUAGUUUGAUAAGGUUGUCUUGUAUUAUAUAAAGCAUAAAUGAUAAUAGAAGCACUAUAUUGAAUAGUCCAACACACCUUAAUUUGAACUUGUGGCCUAGAUGUCACUAAGGUUGGUGCCGUGAAGCUUAAUACCGGUUUAAGUUUCCAAGAAUCUGAUAAGGUUGUCUUUUGUUAUAUGUCUUUUGUACCACUGUCAUUAUUGUUUUGAGGAGAGGAUAUAAAUGCGUUUAGUUGAACCUGAUAGAGUGUAAAUGAAAUUGAAGAAACUAUAGGUUAUUUUAAUUAGGUCAAAGAAGUUUUUAGUCUUUUGUUAAAUUUUAGAUUUAAUUUUGAGUCUCAUCUCCUUUGAAUUAUUUAUUCAUUUUUAGACCUUUUUAUAUUUAUUUCUAAUAAUUAGUGGCUAAGAGAGUGAAAAUGACAUAAAAAAGACCGAAAUUUAACUUUGAAUAGAUUAAUUAUGAUUAUUAAAAAUAAAUAAGAGUUUAAAAUAAAAAAUAAAUGACUAAAAUUCAAAAUCUGAAAUUCUAUGUAGAUUAACAACUUAUUUAGCACUUUUAUUAUUAUAAAAAUAAAAUUGAUAAUUAUUUAGAGCUUAUAGGUUGGAAUUGUUGGAUUACAAUAAUAUCUUAUUUAUAAUUUUCUGAAACUUUAUUUUGAUUUGUGCAUACAGAAUAUGGGCUUAGCUGUUUUAGCUCAAUCGGAGUCUAUAGAUUUCGUAAAAAAAAUCAUAAGUCUCACCCAUAAUGAUCUUAUUAUUUUUUUUCAUGAUUACCUUUUGAUAAAAUAUACAUAUAAUCUAUAAAAAAGCAUAGUGAACAGGUAGAUGAAUGAAUACUUAUAAUAAUUAAUAUUUAAGAUAGGGAGUGGAAACUUGAACUAAGGGACCUCAUUUUUCCUUUUAAAAAAUUGUGUGAAAAAACAUAGACUUUGACUGAGAAACCCAGUUUUUCUCCCUUUCUAUCUGGUUUCCGCACCUGAUUGCAAAAUCAAAAAAUAUAAAUUAAAACUGUAAGCAUAAACUAAAAGAUAAACCGAAGUGUAGUUUGUUAAAAUCACAAUUCUUUCCCCAACAAAAGAAAAUAAUGCUCCAAGGGAAUUCCAUAUUGAUCACACUGUUACUAAUGCUACUUCUUAUCAGAAAUGGCAACUGUCAGAACAAGUGCAAUAAGGAAUUGUCUUGUGGGCCUGACGAACCCCUUAUUAGAUUCCCCUUCCAACUGGUGAAGGGGAUGAAAGAUGAAUGUGCUAAUCCCGGGUUUUGUUUAUAUUGUACUCAAAAAAAUGAAACCAUGGUUGUGCUCUCUACAAUAGAAUUCCAUGUCCUUUUCAUAAACUACAAACGUAACUACUUUAGGUUGAGGGACCCAGAAAAUUGUCUUCCGAACAAGUUUCUACAAAUCAACAAUUUUUUUCUUCAGCACAACCAACUUGAACUAGGAUUUCCUGGACAUGAAGGAACAAACAACUUGAGCUUCUUUAACUGUUCUUCAGUUGGGCAUAGAUACCUCACAAGAUGGGUUUGUUAUAGUGAAUACGUUGUUGGUCAACAAGAUAUGAUCUCCUGUCCGAUUCACGUGUCUAGAUAUUACGACAGUGUCCUCGAAUGGGAUCUAACAUCCUGUACCAAGAUGUUCGACACCAUUUCGCCAGUUGAGGCAUACGACCUGCAGUCGAAUUCUUUGAAUAUGAGAUGGUCCAUACCAAAUUGUACUAAGUGCGAAGCAAAAGGCAAGAGAUGUAAAUGGAAGAACAACAACACAGAAGGAGACAUUGAAUGUUUUGACUGCAAACCGAAAAGAAUCCAUGUUCCCCAAUCUUUUAUUUUCGCUACUACAGGUUAGACCAGACUCUUUCACACUACUUCAUUGAAUGUUAUAGGUUCUGAAACUAUUUUAGACUUUUGAGUUUAGGCUUAACUCGAUUUAAAAGUUAGUUAAAGGUUGUUCUUUAUUUAUAUAUUUUAUUUUCACUGUAUCACAAGUGGAUGUAAAAUAUCUCACUCAUUUAAAUUAAGUAUGCUACUGUUAUUGUAGGCUCAAUUUUUUUGGGGCUGGUGGUCAUUGUUGUCUUUAAGAUAGCCCUCUAUUUUAGACAGAAAGAAGACGACCAAGCAAGAGUGGCCAAGUUUUUAGAGGAUUACAGGGCAGAAAAGCCUGCAAGAUUUACCUAUGCUGAUUUGAAAAGAAUCACUGGUGGCUUUAAAGAAAAGUUAGGGGAAGGAGCUCAUGGAGCUGUAUUCAGAGGAAAACUUUCAAAUGAGAUUCUAGUGGCUGUGAAGAUCCUCAAUAAUAAAGAGGGAGAAGGGAAGGAGUUCAUUAAUGAAGUGGGAAUCAUGGGAAAAAUUCAUCACAUCAACGUGGUUCGUUUGCUUGGCUUCUGUGCAGAAGGAUUUCAUCGUGCUCUUGUCUACAAUUUGUUUCCAAACGGAUCCUUACAACGAUUUAUAGUUCCACCGGACAACAAGGACCAUUUCCUUGGCUGGGAGAAGCUGCAAAAGAUUGCUCUUGGUAUAGCUAAAGGGAUUGAGUAUCUUCAUCAAGGUUGUAAUCAACCCAUUAUUCAUUUUGACAUCAAUCCUCACAAUGUGCUACUUGAUGACAACUUCACUCCAAAAAUUUCUGAUUUUGGCUUAGCCAAAUUGUGUUCCAAGAAUCCUAGUUUGGUGUCCAUGACAGCUGCAAGAGGAACCGUGGGAUACAUUGCACCUGAAGUUUUCUCCAGAAACUUUGGGAAUGUGUCUUAUAAGUCUGAUAUUUACAGUUAUGGAAUGUUAUUGUUAGAAAUGGUUGGAGGAAGAAAGAAUGUAGACAUGUCUUCUGCCCAAGAUUUCCAUGUUUUGUAUCCGGAUUGGAUCCAUAACCUGAUUGAUGGAGAUGUACAUAUCCAUGUUGAGGAUGAAGUUGAUAUUAAAAUUGCAAAGAAAUUAGCAAUUGUUGGACUUUGGUGCAUUCAGUGGCAGCCAGUCAAUCGUCCAUCUAUAAAAUCUGUCAUACAAAUGUUAGAAACUGGAGAGGAAAACCAGUUAAAUGUGCCUCCUAAUCCAUUCAACUCAACCACUUCAACUAUUACUAGUGGACACACUAGAGUUACAAGACGACCUUUGGAGUUAGAAGUUAUUCAAGAAUGAUUUAUAGUGGGAGAAAAUAAAUAGUUUAAUUUGUAGAAAAGUAGUAGAUGUAUGUAUUUUAUGUAAUAUGAUUAAAUCCAACCCAUUGUGUUUAAGCGUACUUUUUCUACUAAGAAGGAAAGUUGUGGUGUGUUUGAAUUAACUAUAUGAAAAUAAAUUAAACUAUUAAACAAUUAUUAUUUUAAUUGAUGGUACAAUUUUUUUUUAUAUUUGGAUACGUUUGGUGAAAUGUGAUUUUCAAAUAAUCUUUUUCAUUUGAGAUAUUUAAAAUGGUCGAUUAUGCUAAAAAAAUUGAUAAAUAUUUUACUAUAUUAUAUAUAUAUAUAUAUAUAUAUAUAUAUAUAUAUAUAUAUAUAUAUGAAGCAAAUUUUAAUCGAAAAAAAAUUAGUAGUAAUAUAUUAUUAAAUCUAAAACUUGAAAAAAUAAAUAAUAAAAGGAAAUUUUAAAUAAUUAACAAUUUCACACUUUUUCAAAUAUAUAAAAUAGGUAUUAAAUAAUGACAAAAUUCUUUGUCAUGGAGACAAACUAAAAAAAAAGAACAAUAAGAAAAGCUCUUUUAAGAAAUGACUUUUAAAUCUACAACAUAUUAAAUUAAAUUAAAUUUAAAAUGAUUAUUAAUUAGAUCAUUUUUCAAAAGUAUUAUAUAAUGUUGAAAUUAUUUUUGUUGGACAAGUGACCUCAAAAAUUUAAGAGGGGGUGAAUUAAGUCUUAAAAAAAUUUCCAUUAACAAAUUUUAACCUCCUUUUAAAUGAUAUAUGAUGGACUGAGAAUGCAGAAGAAGAAUAAACAAUCAAUUUAACAAUAUUUUUUUAAAUGUGCAAGACAAAGUAAACUACAGUGAAAUAAUUGAGAGAAGGAAAGAGAGAAAUGCAAACUCAAUUUAGACUGGUUCGACCACUUUCCGUGCCUAUGUCCAAUCCUCAAGCAACUCACUUGAGAUUUUCCACUAUCUCUGUAAACCCUUUACAGACUUUGAACACAUCUUGAGAUCUCUUACCCUUGUGUACAUGAUUCUCCAAGAGACAACCCGUCUCUUGAUUAUAUUUCUCACAAUCCAAGAGACAAUCAUUCUCUUGAUUACAACUCAGUUUAUGAUAUGAAUAUAAAGAUUUCUCUCUUUUAUAGUAAAUGAUAAAAAAUGAAGAUCCUAGAGGAAUGUCUCUCUUUAGAGAUAAUAAUAUAAAUUGAAGUUCUUAGAUGAAUUAUCAAUAGAUUUGUAAGUGUUUGUCCAAUAAUUAUUGAGAGAGCAUUUGACAAUUAAGUUCUCUUAGAAUAUCUGCUUUUCGAAGUCAGACACACGUAUAUAUUGGCCCAUUGUGACUUUUCAAAAUGAUUUGAAGAGAUGUGUCUUUUCAAAAAGCUUUUCUAAAAUUUUCUCAUUGGAAAUCAAUUACAGAUUUCUGAUAAUCGAUUACAAAAUUCAAAUUUCAAAACUCUUUUUAAAAGCUGAUUUGCAAACUUGUCUUCUAGUAAUCGAUUAUACUACGUGGUAAUUGACUACCAAAGCCUUUGAUCUCUUGGAAAAAAUUUGUUUUAAGGCAAAUACCAAUCAACCAAUAAGAUUGUUUGAGGCCUUAUCUUCUUCUUGAUCUUGUUUGCUUAACCUUGAGUUAAUCUUGAAGUAAUGAUUAACCUUUGAAUAUUUGUUGAAGCAAACUUGUUUGAUUCUACUUUGACAUCAUCAAAACUCUCUAUUCAUACAUUCAAAUUCUUCCCCUUUUUUAUGAGGACAAUCAUUAUCAAGUGAAUUCUUUUUGGCAUCAUCAAAACUUGAAUGAUUCACAUUCUCCUCUUUUAUGAUAAUGACAGUCAUUAUCAAUUGAAUUCUUUUCGGCAUCAUCAAAACCUGAAACCUGCAUGAUUCACAUUUUCUCUCCUUUUUUAUGAUGACAAUUAUAUGUAGGUUAGAAGUAAAAAAAUAUCUAUGUGAAUCAUUUACUCCCGCUUGAUUUUACAAUGAUUGCAUAUAUAAAAAAAUUGUCUCAAAAGAAUUAUAUAUAUAUAUAUAUAUAUUAUAUUCAAAAUUUUAUUAGAAAUAUUUUUUAAAAAUUGUAUAUUGAAUCAUCAAUGCGUGUAAUUAAAUUCUUUUUUCAAUAUAAUUAGUUAUGUUAAAUUUGAUUAUGCCUAAUCAACAACUUUGUGUGAAUCUGAUUUCAUAAUAUAUAUUAUAAACUUAAAUUUUAAUUUUUGAAAUUAUAAAAUUAAUAUAUUAAUGCAAGCAAUUUAACAUUCAUUUUUUACUUCAUUAAACAUAAUUAGCUUUAUAUAUUAUUAAAUUAAUUUAAAAUUGAUUAAAUAAUAUCUUGUUAAAUUUGUUUGAAUUAAUUCAAAAUUAAUUAAAUAAUAUUUGAUUAGACUUAAAGUUCAUUAUAUUAUAUGACAUGACAAAAACAGUUACAUGUCAAUAAAUAGAUGCAUGAAUCAAUCUUAUAUCUCCUAAUUACUAAUUAUGAUUAAUUUCAUAAAUUUCUUGAUUGUUAGUACAUUUUUACGGUGUAAGCCUAAAUUGCUAGCUUAUAACACAAUCCUAGCUUUGGUAGAAUUAUAUGCUAACACUUACAAGUAACACGUACACAUUCAAGUAGAAUCAUUUUAUAUCAUGAUUACAUAUCAGGGAACUUUGAACAAAAUCUUAAAUUUUGGUGACCAUUUUUUUAAACUAUAAAAGAUAAAACAAUAGGAAAUCUUUUAGAUAAAAUAAAUAUUAUAGAUGAAUAGGUGUUCAAGACAAUAAGGUGGAUACAAAUACAUAUUGUGCAUUAUCAAAUAGCAUCCUCUACAAAAGGAUUAGUCACAAUUUCCUUGGAAUAACUAGAAGAACUAAUGAAGUCUGUUGACAUUGUUUGACUAGAGUAGAUGCUUUGAUCAUUUUCCAUUGUCUCAUGUGGAUAUAGAGAAGGCUUUGGUGGUAUUUCCAGGCUUUCAAUGUUUCCUUCAAGCAUUUCCACUACUUUGUUCAUUGAGGGGCAAUCGCUUGAUUUCAACGGUAUACACCAAAGUAAAACAAUGAUAAUCUUUUUUGCUAUUUUAUUUUCUUACUCUCUUACACAUUCCAUUUCUAUAUCUGUCUCUUUUCCAAGUUGAUUAUAAAUCCAAAAGGGAAAGCAAAGUUGACUUGAAAAUAAAUUAUACUAUUAAACAAUUAUAAUUUUAAUUGAUGGUACAAUUUUUUUUAUAUUUGGAUACGUUUGGUGAAUGUGAUUUUCAAAUAAUCUUUUUCUUUUGAGUUAUUUAAAAUGAUCGAUUAUGCUAAAAAAUUGAUAUAUAUAUAUAUAUAUAUAUAUAUAUAUAUAUAUAUAUAUAUAUAUAUAUGAAGCAAAUUUUAAUCGAAAAAAAAUUAGUAGUAAUAUAUUAUUAAAUCUAAAACUUGAAAAAAUAAAUAAUAAAAGGAAAUUUUAAAAUAAUUAACAAUUUCACACUUUUUCAAAUAUAUAAAAUAGGUAUUAAAUAAUGAGAAAAUUAUUUGUCAUGGAGACAAGCUAAAAAAAAGAACAAUAAGAAAAGCUCUUUUAAGAAAUGACUUUUAAAUCUAUAAUAUAGAAGUUGAUCAAAAUAAAUUCAUUUGACAAAUAUAAAUGUGGUUUUAAAAUAAUCAUUUUCAUUUGAGUUAUUUUAAAAAAAAUCGGUUUUAUAUUUGGACAUGUUUGGUGAAAAUAUAUUUUUAAAGUAAUCUAUAUCAUUUGAAUUAUUUAAAAGAAUUUCUUUUUUAAAAAAUCUUUGAUAAAAAAAACAUAUCUAUAUUGUAACUAUAUAAACAAUUUAAAAGUACGAAAUUAAAGAUAAAUGUUGAAAAGCAUAUUAAAUAAAAUUAAAAUUUAAAAUAAUUAUUAGUUAGAUAAUUUUUCAAAAGUAUUAUAUAACAAUGAUUUUUUUAAAUGCGCAAGACAAAGUAAACUAUAGUAAAAUAAUUGAGAGAAGGGAAGAGAGAAAUGCAAACUCAAUUUAUACUGGUUCGGUCACUUCCCGUGCCUACCUCUAGUCCUCAAACAACUCACUUGAGAUUUUCCACUAUCUCUGUAAAUUCUACAGACUUUGAACACACAUUGAGAUCUCUCAUCCCUGUGUUCAAGAUUCUCCAAGAGAUAAUCCAUUUCUUGAUUAGAUUUCUCACAAUCCAAGAGACAAUCAGUCUCUUGAUUACAACUGAGUUUCUGAGAUGAAUAUAAAAAUUUCUUUCCUUUAUAGUAGAUGACAAAAAUUGAAGAUCCUAGAGGAAUUUUUCUCUUUUAGAGAUAAUAAUACAAAUUGAAGUUCUUAGAUGAAUUCUCAAUAGAUUUGCAAGUGCUUACCUAAUAAUUGUUGAGAGAGUAUUUGACAAUUAAGUUUUAUUAGAACAUCUCUCUUGCUUUUCGAAGUCAGACACACAUAUAUAUAGGCUCAUUGUACCUUUUCAAAAUGAUUUGAAGAGAUGUGUAUUUUCAAAAAACUUUUCUAAAAUUUUCUUACUGGUAAUCGAUUACAGAUUUCUGUUAAUCGAUUAUACAGUUAUAUUUUGAAGGGUCAUGACUUUUCAAUUUGAAUUACAAGAGUUCUGUUACUGGUAAUCGAUUACAAAUAUUUGAUAAUCGAUUACAAAAUUCAAAUUUCAAAUUUCAAAACUCUUUUUAAAAGUUGAUUUGUAAACUUGUCCUCUGGUAAUCGAUUAUACUGCCUGGUAAUCGAUUAUCAGAGCCUUUGAUCUCUUGAAAAAAUUUGUUUUAACGCAAAAAUCAAUUAACCAGUGAGAUUGUUUAAGGCCUUAUCUUUUUCUUGAUCUUGUUUGCUUGACCUUGAAUUAAUCUUGAAGUAAUGGUUAACCUUUGAAUAUUUGUUGAAACAACCUUGUUUGAUUCUACUUUGACAUCAUCAAAACUUUGUAUUCAUACAUUCACAUUCUCUGCCUUUUUUAUGAUGAUAAUCAUUAUCAAGUGAAUUCUUUUUGGCAUCAUCAAAACCUGUAUGAUUCACAUUCUUCCCCUUUAUGAUAAUGACAAUCAUUAUCAAGUGAAUUCUUUUGGGCAUCAUCAAAACCUGAAACCAGCAUGAUUCACAUUCUUCCCCUUUUUUGAUGAUGACAACCAUCUGUAGGUUAGGAGUAGAAAAAUAUCUACAUGAGUCGUUUACUCUCCAUUAAUUUUGCAAUGAUUGCAUAUAUAAAAAAAUUUGUCUCAAAAGAAUUAGAUAAUUCACUAUCUUAUCUUUUAUCUAUUUCUCCCCCUUUCAAAUAAAAAAAAAGAUUCAUGAAUUUUUUAACCAUGUUGAAGUUUUAAAUAUCUUUAUGAAUUAAUAUUUGCAUAAAAUAUUAUAUAUAUAUAUAUAUAUAUAUAUAUAUAUAUAUAUAUAUAUUCAAAAUUUUAUUAGAAAUGUUUUUUAAAAAUUGUAUAUUGAAUCAUCAUCAAUGUGUGUGAUUAAAUUCAUUUUUCAAUAUAAUUAGUUAUGUUAAAUUUGAUUAUGUCUAAUCAACUACUUUGUGUGAAUAUGAUUUCGUAGUAUAUAUUAUAAACUUAAUUUUUAAUUUUUGAAAUUAUAAAAUUAAUAUAUUAAUGCAAGCAAUUUAACAUUCAUUUUUGAUUUCAUUAAACAUAAUUAGCUUUAUAUAUUAUUAAAUUAAUUUAAAAUUGAUUAAAUAAUAUCUUGUUAAAUUUGUUUGAAUUAAUUCAAAAUUAAUUAAAUAAUAUUUGAUUAGACUUAAAGUUCAUUAUAUUAUAUGACAUGACAAAAGCAAUUACAUGUCAAUAAAUAAAUGCAUGAAUUAAUCUUAUAUCUCCUAAUUACUAAUUAUGAUUAAUUUCAUAAAUUUCUUGAUUGUUAGUACAUUUUUACAGUGUAAGCCUACAUUGCUAGCUUAUAACACAAUCCUAGCUUUGGUAGAAUUAUCUGCUUAAACUUACAAGUAACACAUACACAUUCAAGUAAAAUGAGUUUAUUUCAUGAUUACAUGUCAGGGAACUUUGAACAAGAUCUUAAAUUUUGGUAAUCCAUUUUUUUAAACUAUUAAAGAUAAAACAAUAGGAAAUCUUUUAGAUAAAAUAAAUAUUAUAGAUGAAUAGGUGUUCAAGACAAUAAGGUGGAUACAAAUACAUAACUACUGUGCAUUAUCAAAUAGUAUCCUCUACAAAAGGAUUAGUCACAAUUUCAAUUCCUUGGAAUAACUAGAAUAACUAAUGAAGUCCGUUGACAUUGUUUGACUAGAGUAGAUGCUUUGAUCAUUUUCCAUUGUAUCAUGUGGAUAUAGAGAAUGCUUUGAAGGUAUUUCCAGGCUUUCAAUGUCUCCUUCAAGCAUUUCCACUACUUUAUUCAUUGAGGGGCAAUCGCUUGGUUUCAACUAUAUACACCAAAGUGAAAUAAUGAUCAUCUUUUUUGCUAUUUUAUUUUCCCCCUCUGUGACACCUUCCAUUUCUAUAUCUAUCUCUUUUCCAAGUUGAUUAUAAAUCCAAAAGGGAAAGUAAAGUUGACUUGAAUGAUCUGCAUGGGAAUUUAGGUUUUUCCUCUUACUUGCCAUCUCCAUCAAAAGCAUCCCAAAGCUAUAAACAUCAGCCUUGUGGGAUAUUCCUCCAAUAUUUUUAUAAAAUAAUUCUGGAGCCAUAUACCCAAUUGUCCCUCUUGUCGCUGUCAUAGUCACAAUGCUAUUAUCUAUUGGAUAUAGUUUAGCCAAUCCAAAGUCAGAGACCUUUGGGGUGAAUGUUUCCUCAAGA
Molecule: long non-coding RNA, 48871 nt
Filed under: Glycine max (soybean)
Lineage: Eukaryota; Viridiplantae; Streptophyta; Magnoliopsida; Fabales; Fabaceae
Description: long non-coding RNA (GMAX_LNC002799)
Source: RNAcentral